Molecule: long non-coding RNA, 85018 nt
Filed under: Triticum aestivum (bread wheat)
Lineage: Eukaryota; Viridiplantae; Streptophyta; Magnoliopsida; Poales; Poaceae
Description: long non-coding RNA (TAES_LNC010873)
Rfam family: MIR1120/MIR1122 microRNA precursor family (bases 2094-2228)
Source: RNAcentral
AAUUAAAGUAUCUACCCAAAGUCCCAAACUUCCUGCUUACUUAAAUUGUUUCGCCUUCUUGAGUCUCACUGUUCUUUUUUGUUCCUUUGCUAUUUGGUAGUUUGAAAUUAAAGUAUCUACCCAAUGUUCCUACUACCGGAAAUUAUUUCUUCUAGAGUCUUAAAGUUCCAUUUUGUUUGCUUGCUAUUUGUGCAGUUUAUCUAUAGAUGGGAUUUAGAAUGCUGCCCCAUAUUUGACAAACUAAAGACUCUAUCACUCAAUGAGUGGUUUACGACUAUUGACCUACCGUGCAUUCUCCAACACUCUCCAGUUCUUGAGGUGCUCACUCUUCAGCUUGGUAGCACUGAGGUAUAACCUAUAUAUAUAUGAAGACAUUGUUGUACUGUUAAAGGAACUAUUAUGUAUAUUCUGUUGAUCUAACUAAAUUGUAUCAUGGAAAUUCGUUAGAGCAACAGGAGCAGAAGAAAAGAUAGAGCAAUCAUUUGUAUGCUCGCACCUUAAGGUUGUCAACAUUGAAUGUAGAAAGGUCGAUGAGGGAGUUCACAAAAUUCUGAAGUUCUUGAGUAAAUGUGGCAUACUUCGUGAUCAAAUUAGCAUCACUCACCGUAAGUAACCUUUGUCAUUUUUUUAUUUUUUCCUAUGAUAUUCCUACUUGUUUUAUCAUCUCUGUUGGAAUUAAAUAACACUCAAGAGUUUAUGAGACCCUUUUGAAAUCUAUUUAUAUUCAGUGUCCAUUAUUGGAUUGUGUGCUGGCGUAGUUCAGAACGACUGUUAGGUUUCACCGAAAUUAAUUGCUUUGUUAUUACUGGUGAUAAUACAAUAGUUACCGUUGCCGUUGUGCCUAUAAAUCUGUUGUGUCUGUAAAUCUGUUCCAUCCAUGCAAAAAUCAUUUGGGUUUGAUCCUGUGUUCUUUUACUGUUUAAUUACUGAUGGAAAUAGUAGUCAUUUUCGUCUUGAAAUUGAGUUUUAUCUUUGCUCUUGUUCUAGUUGACACAUUAAAUUUUGUAAAAAUCUUCAACUGAGGGGUGAUAGUGUACUGCCUCAUUUGUUUCACUGUUGUUACUAGCCUGUUGUCAGUUUCAUGACUAGUGUUUGAUGGCCAAAUUGCAUGCCUGUCUCACUAGUGUCUGAAGUCUGAAACCCUCUUGAGUGCUGAUGUAUCUGAGUGAUCAUAUAUGUAAUAUGUUGCUGUCACAAUGCUAAACUUUUGUGUAAAAAAAUAAAAUUUGGUCGAUGCCACAUUGAGAAAAAAAACACUUGUUCAAGUUGCAUGAUAGUUCCUCUACAUCAAACUGCUCGCCAAGCUAUUAUCCGUCUAUGUUAGUGGAGAUCUUGGAAUUUGAAACCAAACUUAUUGCAUCGUCAUGUUUUGUAUAGGUUUCAGUUUCCAGAAGCCUAUGCGUCCCUUGCCUCGGUCUACCACGGAACCAGGCGGACUCUCCAGUUUCCACCCGUGACAGCGCUUGAGAUCUGACACAUGCUCGCUUGUGAUGGUGGUCUGAAGCCUCAUGUCUCUCUGAAUAUGUCUGUAACGACAGUCCUAUUAGUUGUUACCACCAUAUUCAGUUUCCAGCUUUCUAUCCUUUGGUACUGUACUGGAAGCCUGCGUGUUUGUUGUUUGGCGAAACUCAUGAAAAUGGAUUUUAACUGCUGGGCAUUCUUUUGGAUGAGUAGUUGGACCUGAGCUUGGUUUAAAACCAGGGGAUAACACCUUUUGUUGCAUCUUCUCUUACCCUGUUGCAGUGUCUGUGUUUCAAAUCUUCGAGUUUGCCUGUCUGAUCGCACCACCCAGGAAGUUUGCUGGAGAAAAGAACCGCCCUGACAGAAACAAAGGCCAGGCAAAACAAUUUUUUUGUCUAAAUGGUCUGCUCAGCUUGAUGCAAAAUUCUUCUUGAUAUAUUGAUACUGAAUCACAAGAUGAGAAGCAUCUAUUUAUACCUCAUCUUGACUGCCUUGUACUCUCUCUGUUCCUAAAUAUAAUUUUAUUUAGAGAUUUCAAUAUAGACUACCUAUGUAUGUAUAUAGACGUAUUUUAGAGUGUAGAUCCACUCAUUUUGCUCCGUAUGCAACCCAUAUUGAAAUCUCUAAAAAGGCUUAUACUCUCUCCGUCCGAAAAUACUUGUCAUCAAAAUGGAUAAAAAGGGAUGUGUCUAGAACUAAUAUACGUCUAGAUACAUCCCCUUUUAUUCAUUUUGAUGACAAGUAUUUCCGGACGGAGGGAGUAUUUAGAAAGGGAGGGAGUAGUAGUCUUUAUGGCAGUUGCAUUCUGGACAUGCGUGGCUUGAAAAUUGCAACUCAUAAUGCUGCUUCAUUUCCGACUUAGGUUCAUCAAACAUUUCUUAUCUGUUAUAAGGACUAGGGCGAUCUGUACUUAUCGAUCAUAAAUAAAAUGAUUAGAGUUUAGAUGUUACACUUACAACAGACAUGCAAAUUUCCCCACAAAGAAAAACAAAAGCAAUACAAGUGCUGUGUUUGGCUCAAACAGCUUUAUUAUGUGAGGCAAAAUCAUCCGUCGCUCGCCACAACACCGUCGGCAGAAAACCGCAUAAAAAGGAGCUGAGGAAGAACAAAACAAAUGAAACACUAGAAUUUUCAUGUUGACUUGACCUUGUGAAAAAUAAUGUGUUUGCUACAUGUAAGUUACCUCAAAUAAUUUAAGAGCUAGUUAAUUCCGUGCAGCACUGAGGCAAAGACGGGCACAAUGGCAUACCUGGAACACACCGGAGAUGGAUACAACACGGUUGUCUACAGUGUUACUGAUGAACGAGAGUUUGAGGGUUGACAGUUGUGUGUAUGAGGGGGGGGGGGGGUGACCCCAAUGAAGAUAGGAAUUUAGGAUCUUUGGUACACAUACAAGCAACUUUUUACAGGUGAGUUGGCAACGUAUGAUUGAGAAACGAUAGGGAGGGGCCCCGAGCCUGAAAAGGCGGGGUGGUGUGCUAAUGAUGCCAGCCGCAGGUGAUGUGGAACGGCGGUUGGGUCGAUAGUGGAAGGCAGAUCAACAAUGGUGGAGGGCUGUCGGGAGACGAGAGAGGGGGAAUCCACUAAGAGCAACUCCAAUACCCCCCCCCCCUCCGCCCCCUAAGAAACUUCCCGUAAAACCACUUUUACGAAAUGAGCGUGGCCCUGAGCCAGUUAAUUCCGUUGACAACUUUUCAUGAAACAAAGCCAGUUAAUUUUUCAUGAAACUAGCCUAGAAAUGUUGGUGAUCUAGCGUGGCGGUGCCCGGCAAUGGCAUGGUGGUGGCAGCCCGACAUGGCGGCGCCUGACGGCAUGGUGUCGGCGACCCGACGCGACACAAGAGUCUCCUGUUGUGAAGUUUCAGACGGUUGUCCGCCCGCCAAAAUUAUACGGGUGGGCUUUCUUCUCGUAAACUUGCAAGACGGAAGAGGUGAUCAUAUGGUAUUUUGUAAAAAGAAAAUUGAGUUUACAGGAGCUGUUGAAGGGUUGUUUUUUAUCUCAACUUUGUCCCGUCGACGGUACUUUUUGUAGGGAUGCAAGAGCUAUUGGAGUUGCUCUAAUGCCAAUUUAUUUUCCGGGUAACUUACAAAUAACCGGGAAAUAAACCUGUUUUGUUUUUAGGAGAAAACAAAAUAUUAAUUAAGUAUAAAAAAGAGAAGAAAAUAUUAACCUCUUGUGUGUCCGUCGUUACACUUUCCAAAUUAAUAGUAUCAACCUUCCUACUAACUUAAGUUAGCUUUGACUUCUCCUUUUUCUCACUUGUAAUUUUUCUAGUUUAUCUACCGAUGGGAUUUAGAAUGGUGCCCCCUCUUUGCCUUUGGCACAUUAAAGACUCUGCUCCUCAAUGAGUGGUUCACGACUAUUGAUCUAGUAUGCAUUCUUCUACACUGUCCACUUCUUGAGAGGCUCACUCUUCAGCUUUAUGACACUAAGGUAUAUCAUGUAUAUAUAAAGAUGUCGAUGUGUUAUUAAAGGAAAUAUCAUGUGUGUUCAAUUGAUCUUACUAAAUGUUCUCAGUGUCUCACACAGAACCUCGUAGGAGCAACAACAACCCCAGAAACAGUUGAACAAUCAUUUGUUUGCUCCCACCUGGAGGUUGUGAACAUUGAAUGUAGAAAGAUUGGUGUGGUAAUUUGCAAAAUCUUGAAUAUCUUGAGUACAUUUGGUGUAGAUUAUAAGAAAAAACAGCAUCGAUGAAAAAUGUUCUCGCUCACAUCGCAAGUUACCUUUGUCAUGCAUCAUCGUCCAUAUGUUUCUCCAAUUUUUCUACUCUACAAACAUGUUUGAUGAACUUGCACAUUAACUAGAGAACAUUUAGUACCCAUUUGUAUCCAUAUCAUUCAUUAUGAAACCCUUUACAACCUGUGUAUGUUGUAUUUACUGCAUGCUGGUGAAGUUGAGAAUUGCUGCUAAGUUCUAGUGGUAGCAAAUACAAUGGUAACCACAUGUUGCCGUUCAUGCGUGUAAAUAAUCGGUAUCAUCCAUGCAGAGUUAUUUGGGAUUGGUUCCCUACUUUUUUACUGUUCAUUAUUAAUGAAGAUAUCAAAAGCUCUUGUUUUGGAAUUAACUUUAUCUGUGCUCCUAGUUGGUAGAUUACACUUGGCAUAUAUUCAGCAAGGGCAAGGAGGACUGCCUUUGCCUCUUUGUUUUCAGUUUUACUGUUGUUUCCAGCCUGUUGUCAGUCUGAAAUCCCUCUUCAGUUUAUGAGGUAUCUGAAUGGUCAUAUAUAUCUUGCACUCACAAGGGUAAACUCUAUGUUUACAAAAACAAUUGGUCAAGGAUACUUUUUGGUUAAAAUAAAAGAAAUUUGGUCAAGCGGCAUGAUAUUCUCCUAUCUAUCUAUACAAAUUGAGGUCAUCCUCAUGCCAAACUUAUUGUUUAUUGUCAUGUUGUUUUUUAGGUUUCAGUUUCUAGAACCAAAAGCAUGGGUAGCUUACAUCACUGGUGACGCCUAAGAUGUGUCCUCUGGCAUGAUGUUUGUCUAAAAUCCUUUUGUGUUUCUCCGUUGAGUCUAUAAUGGUGGCCCUUUGUUGGCUUUUAUCGCUACACUUAGUUUCUCAAUUUUGAUAUUUCGGUGAUGUGCUGGAACUUGGCUUUGUUGGUUGUUUGGUGCGACUCGGUAAUACAGUUUGUAGCUCGUUGAACUUAGAACAUUGCUAUGUUUCGUUAUAUCGGUAACGCACAUCAGGCUGGUGUGCCCUGUUUGAGUCCAUUAAUUCUUUCUGAUGGAGCUUUACUUCAACUAUUAUUUCGGCAUAAACUGUUUACCUGUUGAGCUUCUUAUGGAUGAGAUGUUGGACCUGAACAUGGUUUAUGGAGCCAAGUGUCAACGCCUAGUUUUUUUUGCUUUGCACUAGUAAGAUACCCGGCCUAGAAUUUUUGGAACUACCAGGCGUAGGGCUGGAAAAAAAGCUCAAAGCUCGUGAGCUAAACGAGUAGCUCGUGACUCGGCUCGAAUCGAUUCGAACUCGAAGAAUAACGAGUCGAGUCGAGCUUUAGUUUAAGAUCAUUUGUAGACCAAGUUAAACGAGCCAAUCUCACGAGUACUCGUGUAACUCGUUAGGCUCGGUACAAAAGAUCAGCCACUCUCAAUAUAAAAAAAAAUCAGCCACUCAGCACCCUAUGUUCCAGGCGCACAACACAAGGCCUAGCCGUUGAAGGCCCAACCGCCUAGGAGACUCAUGCGUUACAAGAAAAUUACUAUUGUUUAGUGAUAUAUAUGUUUAAUAUAUACAUAUAAUUUUAAUAAUGUUUGAGGGUUUUAUGUUCAUAUCUUUAACGGGCUUAACAAGCUAAACGAGCCAGCUCGCGAGUUAUACGAGUCGAGCCAAUCUUGGAUUUGAGCUCGUUAAUAAUAACGAGUCGAGUUGAGCUAGCUCGUUAACGAAACGAGCUCUAGCGAGUCGAGCCGAGCUGGCUCGACUCGGCUCGAAUUCCAGCCCUAACCAGGCGACUGGAUUUGCGCAUACUAGGUCGGCACCCUUGUCCUUUUGAUUUUUCGCCACAGAUCAAUCUUUAGAUCAUAUUACUAGGAAAGAAACAGAUAAUUAAACGACAUAUUUAAAGGGGGGGAACGGUUCGGCCGAGAAAAUAGGAUCUCGCUCCCGUGUCGCUCCUGGGCGGCACCGGGGCGUCCCCAUCCUCGCCGCCGGUCUACCCUCGUCUUCCACUCCUUGCCGCCACCGUUGCCGGUGAGCGCGGUGGCGGCGGGGCCUGCUCCUUCUAGGUCGCAGACGCGUGAGGAUUGAGUCUGCACAUCAAAGCUAUGGAUUGCUGUGCCGGCUUACCCACACCGAGCGGCCCUGGCAGCGGCCGCCGCGCAAGCUCGUACUGGCGUGCAGGUUGUCUGCGGAAACUGGGCCGGGCUGGACGGGGUAAUCCCUUGGUUUGACUGCCAUGGGCGGCGUGGAUGUGGAGCCUCUGAUCUAGCCUGGCGAAGCCAUAUCCAGUCAUCUCCUCCUCCGGUUGGGUGACAAUCCUGCUCCUCCAAAUUGUGGCGUGGCAUCAGGGAUAAGGAUGGUAAUAGGUAGGGUAUGGGCAGGGUAGAGCUGAGAUAAUUAAUGACUAAUUGAUGACAAAUUAACAUUAGUUUACAAACGGGUAGGGUAUGGGUAUACCCGCGGGUACAAGGCUAUACCCGUACCCUGCCCAUGACUUAAUGGGUAGGGUAUGGGUACUACCCAUGGGUAUAAAAGUGUGCCCAUACCCUGCUCAUGCGAGUACGAUACUCACGGGUACCCAUACCCGUGGGUAAAAUUGCCAUCCUUAAUCAGGGUCAUUGAUAGCACAUUUGACAAUUUUUUUAUCUCAGCUCAACAACAGGUAGAUGAGUAAAUGACCAAUAUCAAAAUUUAGAAACCACAACAUACUUUUAAGUCAAUAGGAGUAGACGAGUCACAUAACAAACUAAUGACUAAUUGAUGACAAAUUAACAUUAGUUCACAAACGGGUAGGGUAUGGGUAUACCUGCGGGUACAAGGCUAUACCCAUACCCUGCCCAUGACUUAACGGGCAGGGUAUGAAUACUACCCAUGGGUAUAAAAGUGUGCCCAUACCCUGCCCAUGCGAGUACGAUACCCACGGGUACCCAUACCCGUGGGUAAAAUUGCCAUCCUUAUCAAUGAGCGUAAAAGGGAAUCCCAAUGAGGUGUUCUGCAUGGCGGCCCUGCUGGUCCUUGUGGUGGACUCCGUCCUUCAAGAUCUAUCGGUCGGGAGGCAUGGUGCUGAUUUGGCGGCUAGUUGUGUGCUCUUGAUCUUGCGGUGGCUACGUGACGGAUAUAGGCUGAGCUCUCUCCGGCGAAGUGACAAUCAGCAAUGGGUGCUCCAUCCUAGGUGGUUGGUCCUUGUGGUGACAACUCCGGCCUGCGAUGGUAGCCUCGCCGCAGAUUGUGGUGACUACCGAAAGGUCUUCAUGAGAGUUCCUCUCUUCAGACCCGGUACUUGACUUCAGUUGUGAGAUGCAAACUAUCGACAACGACUUGACGCAGAGGGAUUGUUGUACAGCGGCGGCGAACGCGCAUGUAGCUGGGGUCGCGAGAAAGUGGUGGUGACAACACAUAAGGGACGUUGAUGGGGGUGCCACUCGAGCACCCAGGCUCGAGCUCCAGCGUGAAAACUUAGGUCUGACCCGAGUUGGUUAAACCUGACAAUGGCGAUAUUUUUAUGUCGUUACCUUGUUGAAGGCAUUGCUCGGAUAUGCUUGGACUGUUUCUUCAGGGUGAAAACUUAGAUCUGACCUUGGAUGUUUGGAUCUGGUGACGGCGAUGAUGAGCAUCGCUCCCUUCUUAAAGGCGUUGCUGUUGAAGAAUCUCGUUGUUCGUUUGGUGUCAUGAGAUGGUUGGUGCCAAUAUGGUCAUUGUUGUAGUUUGCCGAUCAUGGAUCUGAUAGCUUUGUCAUUUUUCCUCGCCUACACAUAGCUUUGGUCUCAUAUACUUUGCUAUUUUGCUGGCGUUUUAUUUGUGUGCGUGUGUUUUUAUUGGUUGUGUGCAUCCUAGCUAUGCAGAGGCCGGUUGUGGGUUCAUUGUGUUUGUAUCCUCUUGAUGCUUCAUUUUAAGCUAAUAAAAUACAUCCUUUAUCGGAAAAAAAUUAAACGACAUAUUACGUGACCGUCAUACCAGGUCUCCAUUGCGCCAGACAUGAGCAUGUUGACGAUCCUUUUACACGUGAGAUUGCAAAAUUUUAGUCCAGAUUCUUUUGGGAUGGUGAGGGAGAUAAACAAAAAUAUCACAUGGUCCGAUGUACUGACAUUUGUUGACCUAAAGACCAGGGUGAUCUGGGGAUGAUGCCGUCCAAGUGUAUGAAUAUCGCGCUGCUAAAGAAAUGGUUGUGGCGCAUUGCAAAUAACGAUGGCGGGCUAUGGUUAGAUAUUAUCAAGGCCAAAUAUCUGAGGGGCCGGCCUCUUGCGUUCUGCCAACGCCGGAGGGUCCCAGUUCUGGCAAUCUAUCAUCCAGCUACUCCCCAUCCUCCGUAUUGGGUCCUCGAUCUCGGUGGGGUCUGGGUCAUCAACCCUCUUUUGGCUCGAUCGGUGGGCGGGUGAGCAACCCUUUGCCUCCCGAUUUUUGGAGUCAUUCUCCAUAUGUGUAGCCCCUCGAAUCUCUUUCGAGGCUGCCCUUAUUGAUCUAGGGAGCAUCAUUUUCUGGCAUGCCUUCGGCCCUCCCGAGCAGGCGGUCUGGGAAGAUAUGUUGGAUUGUGUUGCUCUACACACUCCCAGCUUAGAACCGGACCACGUCUCCUGGCGCCUUGAGUGGAGCAGCUAAUUUUCUACUAGGUCGCUCUACCAAGCCAUUGUGGCUGCCCCUAGCCCGGAGCCUCUUGGCCUGCUUUGGUAGGUUAGGCUGUCGUUAAAGAUUAGGAUAUUCCUAUGGUAGUGGAUUCGCGGCCAAGUCCCUUCAAAGGUGGAGGCACUAAAACACAAUGGCCCCGGGGAUGGAAUUUUCCCUUUGUGCGAAACGGACGAGGAAUCCAACCAUAUUUUCUUCUCUUGUGUUAUGGCUCAAUUCCUUUGGAGUUGCUUCAGGGAAGUUGUGGGUGGUGGGUGGUUCCACACAAACUUCCCCAAUCUCUACGAGGAAUUACAAGCUUUCUCGGUGGGCUCCCACCACAUUAGGUGGCUUGGGAUUGGGAUUCUCGCGUGGACGUUGUGGAUGAUACAUAACAAACUUGUCAUCAAGUGAUCUCCCUUGCGGCGGACUACUGAUGCUAUUAACAAACUAUGUGGUUUCUUGCAGCUAUGGAAGUCACUUAGCCGGGGACAGGAGCGUGGCGCUAUCGAUUCUCUCACUGCAGGUCUCAGAUCCUUGGCUCUCUGUUUGGCGCCUCCUUUCCCUCCGCCAUUACCGGCCCGGACUAGCUCUCUAGAGACCCCUCGUGGCCUAUACCUUCUUUGUUAUGUUGUGCUUGUUCAGCUGGUGCCAUCAGCAGAACCCUUUUUUUGUGCUACCUCUUAUUUGUGUACUUGGGUGUGAUGUGUGUAGCGUUUGUUACCUUGCUGGAACUUUUUUUAGAAAUGGAGGAGGACCCCCGGCUUCUGCAUCUGGACGAUGCAUGCAGCCACUUUAUUAAUUAUUCACACAAGACUUUACAAAGUCAUACAAAAGUAAGAAUAAAGCCACCGUCUAGGCAACAUUUGUCGCUACUCCUAUCCAGUUGAUGAAGGGAUGCUGAUAGUCUGGGCCUAAUACCAAACAGACCUCGCAUCCAAACCUAACAUCUAAGACCUGUGGUCCCAACCAGGACGCCUGUCGGGUAUGGGGCACCCACCAGUCUGGCGCACUCCUCAACCUGGACGCUUGCCGGGUAUGAGGCCGCCGCAGCCACCUGCCACCAAUCCAUCUUUAGUAUUGUACUACCACAUGUACCUUGCCCGGUCUAGCUACCGUCGACACCACCACGACGCCAGCCAACGCCACCAUCCUGCGCUUGUCCAUCAUCAUACGCCCACCGGCAAGACCCCACUGCUCCAUGUCACUGAGGCCCGCCGUUGUCGACCUGUCAGAUACCACGCCGCUCCUCCUCUUGUCCCCUCCAGCCAACACUUGCUCCAAAACGAUGCCCCCAGGAGGGAAAACGACAUCGAAACGUCGCCAUCAUCCGAUCCAGUAGAUCCAGAUCUAGGGUUUCCCCCGGAACCUUCCAAUCAGGUUGACGUGACCUGCAACGACGAUCAGGUUGACGUGACCUUGCUGGAACUUGGUUGUGCUUAUGGUGGUUUGUUUUAUAUAUAAAACAAGGCGAAAGCCUUUUUUGAUUUUAUGAGUGAACUUCUUGGAUGCCUUGAAGGUCUAAAGGCUGCAAGAAGAAAGGGUACAGAGGAUUAUUCAAAUGGACGGUGUCCAUUUUUUAUUUGAGAAUGAGGGAGUAUUAUUUUUGAGAACAAAAGAGUAUACACACACUACUCUUUUGGAGUACUACAUUCCGCAGUCGUCGGGACACGAAGGCUCGCAGGGACGUCGGCAAUCACUUGGGGCGUGUUUAGUUCCAGUUUGGAGCAGUAGUCACAUUGCAUACCCUUCUCAACCCAGCCUGGUUGAGGAAAAACAGGCCCUAAUACGCCAUAUGCAACUUGUUUGGUUGCCUGUAUCCACUACAAAAAAAUACACUUCCGUGAUGGUACGUGUUUGUCACAGUAGGUCGCGUUUUUUUUCAUGCAUGUACAUCCAUGAAAAAUUUAUGACAGAAUCAAGAUAGUCAUACCUGUGCUGUCGUAGAAGUGUUCCAUGACAUUACCAAAAUUAUCAUCACGGAAGUGUCCACUUCCAUGACGAUAAAUCGUGCGUCAAAGAAGUGCUUUCGUCAAGGGUGACCGACACGUGGCAUCCACCGUAACGGAACGCUGUUAAGCUAUCGGGUCGGGUUUUGGAUCCGAUAACCCGUUAACAGCCCCGACCAAUGGGAAAUUUCCACGUGUAAAAUUCUUAUUGGCCGGACGAAACACGUGUCAGCUCGUCAGUGGGUCAGGUAGGCGCCUAUGAUACAUCGACACGUGGCAUGGCCCAACAGAGGCCCAUUCCUGUGAAAAGGCCGACCCGUUUGACUUGGUCAAAAGCUGGCGGGCCGUCCCAUGGAAAGCCUGUUAACGGCCUGUUCGAAUAUAGCCCAUUUACAGCCCGCUAACCCAAGGCCCGUUAUGCCCUAUCCGAAUUAGGCCCAGUAGCGUCAUCUGGGCCAUCCAAUAUGAUUCCAGCCCAUUUUCACUUCUGGCCCAUGUAUGGCCCAUGACGUCUUUCGGCCCAUAUGAGGCCCUAUGUAACUCUUGGCCUACUAACGGCCCGUGGUGAAACUGGCCCGUAAUGAACAGUGUAUCACUUUGCACCCAUUAACGGCCCGUGGUGAAACUGGCCUAUAAUGAACAGUGUAUCACUUUAUACCCAUUAACGGCCCGUUAUUCUGUUGGGCCGUUUCCAGCCCAUGUUAUCUUUCGGCCUUCUCAGAGCCCAUUUAUUCUUGGGCUCAUUUCCAGCAUUCGUUUACUUAUGGUCCGUUACUGUCAUUUUCUUCUUGUGGGCCAAAUUCAGCCCGUGGUUACAGUUGGCCCGUUUGUGGUCCGUUAAUACGUUGGGCCGAUUUCAUAGCGUCAUCAAAUACGGCCUAUUAACGAUGGCCCGUUAUGGUCGGCCCAUGAACGGACGAUUCCAACUCUAGCCUGUUUAUGGCCAUAAUGCGGUCUGUUUGGCCCAUGUUUGGCCAAUCGAUUAUACGGCCCGUAUAAGGCCCAUUUAUAAUACGGCUCACAGAAGGCCCAUUGUUUCUACGGCCCGUAGAAGGCCCAUUGUUUCUAUGACCUGUAGAAGGACCACUGUUUCUACGGCCAGUAGGAGGCCCAGUGUCACUACAUUAAAUAUUAGCCCAUGGUUAUUGUGGCCUAGUUUUAAAAAAUAGGUUAUUGCAGCCACUAGCUAACCGUGGAAAAAGAACUGCAAUGACUACAAGCAAACAAAUAAACAAGACAACAAGGAAAUAAAUAAGCAAGCAACUAACGCUAGGCUAUCACGGCUAUUACACAUAUUACAUCCACUGGGCAUCAAAGUUCGCCACCAGUGCAAAUAUAGGGAACAAAGCAGCAUAUCAUAUACACUGGUUGUCAAAGUUGGCGACUGUAACACUCUCGAUGCGGCUAUAUCUCCCAUGUGUCGAAGCACGACUUAGAGGCAUAACCGCAUUGAAAGCAAUGUCGCAAGUGAGGUAAUCUUCACACAACCCAUGUAAUACAUAAGAGAAAGAGAUACAUAGUUGGCUUACAAUCGCCACUUCACACAAUACAUGAAUAAAGCAUUACAUCAGCCAGAUACACACAAGGUCCGGCUACGGAACCAAAAUAAAAAAGAAGACUACCCCAAAUGCUACACAGAUCCCCGAUCGUCCCAUCUGGGCUCCACUACUGAUCGACUGAAACAAAACAACACAAUGGACAAGAUCUUCAUCGAGCUCCUCCUGAGCUUGGUUGCGUCACCCGCACAGUAACAUCGGCACCUGCAAACUGGUUUUGGAAGUAACUGUGAGUCACGGGGACUCAGCAAUCUCACACCCUCGCGAUCAAGACUAUUUAAACUCAUGGGUAAGGUAAAGGUAUGAUGUGGAGCUGCAGCAAGCAACUAGCAUAUAUAUGGUGGCUAACCUAUUCGCAAAAGAGAGCAAGAAGAGAAGGUAAAGCACAGUGGAACAACUAUGAUCAAGAAGUGAUCCUAGAACAACCUACGUCAAGCAUAACUCCAACACCGUGUUCACUUCCCGGACUCCGCCAAGAAGAGACCAUCACGGCUACACACGCGGUUGAUGUAUUUUAAUUAAGAUCAACUUUAGGUUUUCUACAACCGGACAUUAACAAAUUCCCAUCUGCCCAUAACCUGUAACAUCCCAAAUUUUCAAUUUGGAAUGUUAUACAUUAGAUCAUCAUUGCAUAUCAUAUUUUAUUUUGCAUUUUGGUUGAUCCUAGAAAAUUCUACGCAACUCAAUGACCCACGGAGAGAGUUGGGGAUUUCGUUAUUUUCAUAUUUGAGUUUUCUCAAAUUUUGAGAAUAGGAUCAUUUGAUUUUAUUUAUUUUAUCAUCAAUUAUUUAUAUUACAAAAAUAUGAGAGAGGGAAUAAAAUGACUUUCCCAAAAUAAAGAAAUAUCGAGGAUUUAAUAAUAAAAUCAAAUAAGAUUUUAUUUUGGAGUUUUUCGAUGUUUUAUUUGAAUUUAGGAAAAAUGUGCAUUUUUCAAAAUUGCAUUUAGGGCCCAAAUAAAUGUUCACUUUGUCGGGCUUGAUUUUAGAAGCCUGGAAAAAUUUAUUUCGGGAUUUUUGGAGUCCGUUUAGUAUUUCUUUUUAUUUUUUCUUCCGAGCAGAAUAUUUAAAAAAAAGGGGGAACCGACCUAAUCGGGCCGUGUCCGGAUAGGACUCUGGCCCGGCAGGCUUUAAAAGCCGGCCCAGCCCCGGGGAGGAACCCUAGCCCCAGCCCCGAGCCNNNNNNNNNNNNNNNNNNNNNNNNNNNNNNNNNNNNNNNNNNNNNNNNNNNNNNNNNNNNNNNNNNNNNNNNNNNNNNNNNNNNNNNNNNNNNNNNNNNNNNNNNNNNNNNNNNNNNNNNNNNNNNNNNNNNNNNNNNNNNNNNNNNNNNNNNNNNNNNNNNNNNNNNNNNNNNNNNNNNNNNNNNNNNNNNNNNNNNNNNNNNNNNNNNNNNNNNNNNNNNNNNNNNNNNNNNNNNNNNNNNNNNNNNNNNNNNNNNNNNNNNNNNNNNNNNNNNNNNNNNNNNNNNNNNNNNNNNNNNNNNNNNNNNNNNNNNNNNNNNNNNNNNNNNNNNNNNNNNNNNNNNNNNNNNNNNNNNNNNNNNNNNNNNNNNNNNNNNNNNNNNNNNNNNNNNNNNNNNNNNNNNNNNNNNNNNNNNNNNNNNNNNNNNNNNNNNNNNNNNNNNNNNNNNNNNNNNNNNNNNNNNNNNNNNNNNNNNNNNNNNNNNNNNNNNNNNNNNNNNNNNNNNNNNNNNNNNNNNNNNNNNNNNNNNNNNNNNNNNNNNNNNNNNNNNNNNNNNNNNNNNNNNNNNNNNNNNNNNNNNNNNNNNNNNNNNNNNNNNNNNNNNNNNNNNNNNNNNNNNNNNNNNNNNNNNNNNNNNNNNNNNNNNNNNNNNNGUCUCGUAAUCCGUGCCGCCCGUUUUUUUAGAAAACCGAUUGGUUUUCCGUCGUUUUUUAGUUUUCGUUUUUUUAUUAGAUCAGUUUUUUUCGCUUUAGGUUAAAUAGCGAGCGUUCGCUCGUUUGUUCGUUUAAACGAACACGUUCAUCGUUUAGAUCUGGAUAACGAACGUUCGUUCAUUAAUCCGUUCGUCGUUUUCUUUUUCUCAGAUUAAAUCCGCGAUUUUUCUGAUCGCGAUUCCUGAUCCGAUUUUCGUUUUAGUAUAACUUUUCGCUCGUUUAUCGGAAUCAGGCGAUUCAAGCACCUAGAGUUUCGUCUCGAAACCCUCUAUCCGUUUAACCAACUUAAACAAGGUUUUGCUAUUGCAAAACUUGCCCUAGAUCUAGAUUACUAGAACAAAGUUGUUAUUUUCGCCGUUUGACUUUCGUUGCUUCGUUCAAUUUGAUUCUUUUUGCCAACCAGAGUUCUUAAGUUGAACCUUCUGGUUAGAUCUCUUAUUUGAGUUUUACCUGUGCAUUAGAUGAGUACUUAUUGUAUGCUUGUUUGUUUGUCUGUGAUAGAGUACCCAGAGUGCGCCGCGUGUUACUUCGAAUCGUUAGGUUUCGCGGAUCAUCAGCAAGGCAAGUAACACUUUGAUCAUACCUUUUCUACUACCCAGUUUUAUUGCAUUAGAUCAAAUCCUCACACAUUGCAUGUUUAGGAUCUAAUUAAAUUGUGGGAUGGGAAGUAGAUGAGGUAGUACCUAUUACCUGUGUAUUGUCAAACCUUUGGGAGUUACUUCUACGUUUGCUUAUUAUGCCAUGCUAUGCUAGUAGACGUGGAUUGGGUGAGUGAUAUCCAUGACAGAUGUGAGUUUUGUUAAUUAAUGGUUUAUCUAAGGUGGCAACUUAAACACACAUCUGGGUGGAUUGAGGCACCUGGGUAUUCCAGGACUUGCCUGUUUUCUUUUGGACCGCCACCCAGGCUCAAAGGGAUCAUGAGACUAUUCAUACUAGAAACUUCCGUGUGCAGCCACAAGCUAUUAUGGGCUCUAGCAUAGUUGACUAAGUUGUGCGAACUCUUACAGUGGUAGACUAGCAGAUGUAGGGGAUGUAGGUGGUACAGUCUACCCGAUCGUAAGGUGCUAGCGCUUCUGAAAGACUAUGUCUCGGUAAUCCAUCUUCUCAAACAUCAUGUAGUGCGAGAAAUCAAACGGAGGCGAUCGAGUCUUGUGGGGAAAAGUGCACAAACCUCUGCAGAGUGUAACAAACUAAUCAUGAUUAGUCGUGUCCCCGGUUAUGGACAUCUUGAGUAUCUAGUACUUGGAUUAUCAUGUGAAUCUCAACAUGUUACUCUAAAUUAAUUUUGUUGGGUUAUGUUUAAUGAUGAUGCUUAAUUGGGAUUGAGAAUGCUGUCAACCAUUCUCAAUGUUUAACAACCACCAUGAUAGUAAUUAAAUUUUAUUCCUUUGAAGUAGGGAAAAAUUGGCUUUACGCAAAACUGUAACCAUAGAGCUUUCCACCAGCCAAAUAUGCAUGUAGUAUAGCUGUUGCAUUCCAUUACUCUCUAUGUGUUACCUUGCCAGCAUAUUCCAUGUGCUGACCCGUUUUCGGGCUGCAACGUUAAUGUUGCAGACUUUUCAGACGACGAUUAAGGAGUUUUAGGUCGUGGUCCUAUACUCAGUGAUGCCGUUGGAGUUGAUGGACUCACUUAUAUUCCAAGCCUUCCGCUGUUAUCGUUAUUAGAUGGCCUUAAGCCUUAUUUAUUGUAAUAAGUUCUCUUUUGAGACACUCGAUGUAAUAAGUGUGUGAUUGCUACUCUGCUAUAAAUCCUCCGAGUACUGUGUGGUGUCAGCAUUACUGAUCCAGGGAUGACACCGGAGCACAGAGAUCGGACCGUUUGAGGUCUGGUCGCUACAGAGAUGGUAUCAGAGCACACGCUGACUGUAGGACACGACCACUAAACUACAGACCUAGAUCACUCUCUUCUUUUCUGACUUCUCAUCUUUUCUACUCUUUAGGAUGGCGGAUGCAAGGAACAAGUUCACACAACCGGAUGAAGAUACACCCUUUGGACGUCACUUGAAGGAAGUCACUAGAUACCUGAACAUAGGAGUACCAAGCUUCACGGGAACCUACAACGCCACUUUACCUGAAGAAGAGCGCUGGAUGAUUCAAGUUCAAGUUCCAGGAAGGACGUUCAUGCCAGUCACUGAGCCCAUAGAGUUUUCAUUUGAUGCACCAACUUGGAGUCUAGGAAAGAGCAUGGCAGCUCACAUCACCAUGGGACACAUUGGAGAAGUCUACCGCAAGGAUCUUAAGGAUACUAUCUACCAGAUUUGUGGGUGCCGAGAUGAACACUGGGAGAUGAUUAGCACCGGGAAGGAUAGAUCAAUUGCAGCUUUUAUCCAGGAGCUAAACCAGCACAUUCGACGAUAGGAGAACAAGAUGUGCGCUGACAUGAUAGAUCUGAAGAAGGCUAAGACUAGAAUCAAGGAACUAGAGGAAGAACUCAAGGCUACACGUGAAGAUUAUGAAGAGGAAAUUGAAGUAUUGGUGGAGAAGAAUGAUGACUUGAUCAAGAAGAUUGGAAUAUUUAUGAGAGGCCCGACACCCGUAGAUGAAGACGAAGAACCUAAGGAAAUUAGCCCGGAAGACUACAUCAUCAUCGACGGCACCGACUCGAAAUCAGAUAGUAGCAAUGAUGACUACGUUGAUGAAGCUGGAGCAGAUAUUAUGGAGUCAACGACCGUAGAAUAUUUCUAGUAGACCACCUCCUCAGUAGUAGUAGUUCACCAUGUAAAUAUAGUAGCUCGAGCACUUUUGCAAUAGAUAAAUCAAUUGUAUGCCUUUGUUUGAUUGAAUGAAAUGAAUUGUUUGCUUUUGCCUCAUGUGCAUAUGGGUAGUGUUUUCUCUUCAGACCCUCUCUAUUCUUAUAUCUCAUCUUUUCUAAACCCUCAGAUGCCUUCGAGACGUGACCCCGGUUUUGCUUUCCCACCGGAGCUCACUCAGUUGAUCCAGCAGCAGAACACAUUGAUGCAGUUGCUAGUCCAGAAUCAGAAUCAGGGGAACAAUAACAACAACCCACCACCACCACCACCUAUUGACCACUUAGCCCGUUUUCUUAGGCUGAAUCCGCCGGUGUUUUCCAGUAGUACUGAGCCGAUAGUAGCAGAUGAUUGGCUCCGCAAGACAGCUAGGGAGUUGACCAUCGCAGGAUGCAUAGAUGUGGAGAAGGUGAAGUUUGCCGCACAUCAGUUAGAAGGACCCGCAACACCAUGGUGGGAGAAUUUCAUAGCCACUUUCCCAGUCGACACUGUCACAUGGGACCAGUUUCAGCAAGCUUUCCGUACUGCCCAUGUUUUAGCAGGAGCUAUGGCCAUGAAGAAGCAUGAGUUUCGCAACUUGUGCCAAGGAGGAAGGACAGCUGGCCAGUAUGUGGAGGAAUUUAGUAAGCUAGCACGUUAUGCCCCAGAUGACGUCGCUACGGAUGCAGCUAAGCAGGAGAAGUUUCUGGAAGGACUGAAUGAUGAGUUGAGCAUGCAGUUGAUGGUAGCAACCUUCAACAACUACCAGGAGUUGGUAGAUCGUGCUCUUAUGAUUGAAGGGAAGCAGCAGCAAAUUGAGAACCGCAAGAGGAAGUAUGGACAAGGAAAGUACAAUUCAGGAGCUCAACAGAAGCCACGUUUUACCCCUAGACCAGGAGGACAUUUUCAGCAUACCCAUGGAGGAGGUAGCUCGCACAAUCACAAUGGCACCAAGAAUGGUAAUGGCAAUGGAGGAAGCAACGGCCAGAACCGCACCAACCCCUCAACCCCAGCCAAGAAGGACCUAAGCCAAGUCACUUGCUAUAAGUGUUCGAAGACCGGACAUUAUGCCAAUGAAUGUCCUGAAGGCCAAAAUGGCAAUGGAAGUUCUGGGAAGAAGCCGAACCCUUUCAAUAGGGGACAGGUGAACCACGUUAGCGUGGAGGAGGUUGAAGCUCAGCCUGAUGCAGUAAUAGGUAAGUUUUUGGUUAAGUCAUUUACUGCACUCGUUCUUUUUGAUACUGGCGCAUCGCAUUCAUACAUCUCAAGGGGAUUUGUGGAUAAGUAUAACCUAUCAACCCAAGCCCUUAGGUCACCCAUGUUAGUAACCUCGCCCGGAGCAGAGUAUGUGGCUAGUCUAUGGUGUGAUCGGUUACCAUUAAGGAUUGGUAACUAUGUUUUUCCCUCAGACCUAAUAGUAUUGGAAUCUCAAGGAUUGGAUGUGAUAUUAGGCAUGGAUUGGUUAUCAAAGUAUGAAGGGAAUAUUGAGUGUGCUAGUAAGUCAAUUUUGCUUACCACCCCAGAAGGGAGAAGGAUCAAGUAUGUAUCCCGGCAUGUGCCAAAGAGGACUCAAGUAAAUUGCCUAACAUGAGUUGUGCAGGAGGAAGUACCAGUGGUAAGAGAUUUCCCUGAUGUAUUUCCAGAAGAGUUGCCAGGCAUGCCACCGGAUAGAGAUAUUGAGUUUUUGAUUGAGCUAUUGCCAGGCACAGGGCCAAUAUCAAAGAGACCAUAUAGGAUGCCGGCAAAGGAUUUGGUGGAAAUUAAGAAGCAGAUUAAGGAGUUAUUGGAUAAAGGAUAUAUUCGCCCAAGUUCUUCACCUUGGGGAUCGCCAGUACUUCUAGUGGAGAAGAAGGAUGGAUCGUUAAGGAUGGUUGUUGAUUAUCGAGGAUUGAAUGAAGUAACGAUCAAGAACAAGUACCCACUACCAAUGAUCAACGAUCUGUUUGAUCGAUUGCAAGGAGCUAAGGUAUUUUCCAAGAUCGAUCUACGAUCAGGAUACCACCAGUUGAAGAUUCGAGAACAUGAUAUUCCAAAGACAGCUUUUACUACCAGGUAUGGACUGUAUGAGUAUAUCGUUAUGUCAUUUUGUCUGACUAACGCACCUGCCUACUUUAUGAACAUGAUGAACAAAGUGUUUAUGGAGUUUUUGGAUAAGUUCGUCGUAGUGUUCAUUGAUGAUAUCCUGGUUUAUUCGAAGAAUGAAGAGGAACAUAAGGAGCAUUUGCGUUUGGUACUUGGAAAGCUCAGAGCACAUCAAUUAUAUGCCAAGUUCAGCAAAUGUGAGUUUUGGUUGAAGGAAGUAGGAUUCCUUGGACAUGUUAUAUCUAGAGAAGGUAUAACAGUAGAUCCCGCUAAAGUUGAAACCGUGACCAAGUGGGAAGCCCCAACAACAGUUGGAGAGAUCCGGAGUUUUCUUGGACUCGCAGGAUACUACCGGAGAUUUAUUGAGAAUUUCUCAAAAAUUGCGAAGCCUAUGACUGAGUUGUUGAAGAAAGAUACCAAGUUCAUAUGGACGGAGGAAUGUGAGGCUAGUUUCCAGGAGUUGAAGAAACGUUUGGUUACCUCACCAGUGUUGAUUUUGCCAGACCAGACCAAAGAUUAUGAGGUGUACUGCGACGCUUCACGUCGAGGACUUGGAGCAGUACUUAUGCAGGAAGGGAGAGUUGUUUCAUAUGCCUCAAGACAACUGAAGCCUCAUGAGUUGAAUUAUGCCACGCAUGAUUUGGAGUUAGCAGCCGUAGUGCAUGCGUUGAAAACAUGGAGACAUUUUCUCAUUGGAAACCAUUGUGAGGUGUACACGGAUCAUAAGAGUUUGAAGUACAUCUUCACACAGAAGGAGUUGAAUCUCAGACAAAGGAGAUGGUUGGAGCUUAUCAAGGAUUAUGAUAUGAAAUUGCAUUAUCACCCCGGAAAGGCUAAUGUAGUAGCUGACGCAUUAAGCCGCAAGAGCCAUGUCAAUACAUUAAUGACGGGAGAAAUACCCAAGGAGUUAGCAGAAAAUCUUCGUGAACUAUGUUUGGAAAUAGUUCCGAGAGGCUAUGUAGCAACAUUGGAGAUUCAGUCAACCUUGAUGGAUAGAAUCAGAGAAGCUCAGAAACUGACAAAGAGAUUGCCGCUAUAAAAGAGAAACUAAGCAAAGGAAAAGCUAAAGGAUUUCGUGAGGAUGAGCACGACACCCUAUGGUUUGAAGACCGUAUUUAUGUGCCCAAUGACCCGGAGAUCAGGAAGUUGAUUUUGCAAGAGGCACACGAUUCACCGUAUUCAAUUCACCCAAGAAAUACCAAGAUGUAUUUAGAUUUGAAGGACAUUUUCUGGUGGACCGGAAUGAAGAAGGAUAUUGCGGAGUAUGUAGCAGUUUGUGAUGUAUGUCAGAGAGUAAAGGUAGAGCAUCAGAAGCCAGCAGGGUUGUUACAACCAUUGCCGAUACCCGAAUGGAAGUGGGAUAAGCUAGGCAUGGAUUUUAUCAUGGGAUUGCCCAGGACUCGUUCAGGCUAUGACUCAAUUUUGAUUGUAGUUGAUCGAUUGAUGAAAGUAGCUCAUUUCAUCCCAGUAAAGACCACUUACACCAGUGCUAAGUUGGCAAAGAUAUACAUGACCAGAAUAGUAUGUCUGCAUGGAGUUCUAAGGAGUAUCGUAUCAGAUAGAGGAACCCAGUUUACCUCAAAGAUCUGGAAGCAGUUGCACGAAACUUUGGGUACCAGGCUAGAAUUCAGUACAGCUUUUCAUCCACAGACAGAUGGAUAGACCAAGAGAGUCAAUCAGAUUUUGGAGGAUAUGCUGAGAGCUUGUGUGCUAGAUUACGGAUCUAGUUGGGACGAUAAUUUGCCAUAUGCAGAGUUCUCUUACAACAACAGUUAUCAAACCAGUUUUAAAAUGGCCCCUUUCCAAGCUUUGUACGGAAGGAGGUGCAGGACACCGCUGUCGUGGGACGAAGUUGGAGACCGCCAGUUGUUUGGUCCUGACUUGAUUAAAGAGUCUGAACAGAAGAUGAAAUUGAUUCGCGAUAGGCUCACGGUAGCCCAGUCCAGACAGAAGAGUUAUGCGGAUUCUAAACGCAAGGAGACAGUUUACGAAGUUGGAGAUAGAGCUUAUCUUCGAGUAUCUCCACUUCGGGGAACAAAACGUUUUGGAGUUAAAGGGAAGUUAGCGCCAUGAUUUGUAGGACCAUAUCGAGUUUUGGAACAUAUGGGGGAAGUGGCCUACAAGUUGGAAUUGCCCGAAGGAUUGUCAGGAGUUCAUGAUGUGUUCCACGUUUCUCAAGUAAAGAAAUGUCACACGGAGAUGGCUGACAUACCAUUGAGAGACACAAUACCUUUGGAAAAUAUUCAGUUGGAUAACGAUUUGACCUACGAGGAGAAACCAGUCAAGAUUCUCGAGUUUGCCAGUCGAGUCACUCGCAGCAAGGUUAUCAAAUUUUGUAAAGUUCAGUGGAGCAACCACACGGAGGAUGAAGCCACCUGGGAGCGAGAGGAAGAUUUGUUCAAAGACCACCCUCACCUAUUUUCUAGCCAACCCAAAUCUCGAGGGCGAGAUUCAUCUUAAGGGGGGUAGGUUUGUAACAUCCCAAAUUUUCAAUUUGGAAUGUUAUACAUUAGAUCAUCAUUGCAUAUCAUAUUUUAUUUUGCAUUUUGGUUGAUCCUAGAAAAUUCUGCGCAACUCAAUGACCCACAGAGAGAGUUGGGGAUUUCGUUAUUUUCAUAUUUGAGUUUUCUCAAAUUUUGAGAAUAGGAUCAUUUGAUUUUAUUUAUUUUAUCCUCAAUUAUUUCUAUUACAAAAAUAUGAGAGAGGGAAUAAAAUGACUUUCCCAAAAUAAAGAAAUAUUGAGGAUUUAAUAAUAAAAUCAAAUAAGAUUUUAUUUUGGAGUUUUUCGAUGUUUUAUUUGAAUUUAGGAAAAAUGUGCAUUUUUCAAAAUUGCAUUUAGGGCCCAAAUAAAUGUUCACUUUGUCGGGCUUGAUUUUAGAAGCCCAGGAAAAUUUAUUUUGGGAUUUUUGGAGUCCCUUUAGUAUUUCUUUUUAUUUUUCUUCCGAGCGGAAUAUUUUAAAAAAAAGGGGAACCGACCUAACCGGGCCGUGUCCGGAUAGGACUCUGGCCCGGCAGGCUUUAAAAGCCGGCCCAGCCCCGGGGAGGAACCCUAGUCCCAGCCCCGAGCCGCCCCAGCCGCCCGCGCCCGCCGCUGCUCGUGCUGCCGCCCACCGCCGCCACCCCGCCGCGCCACAGCCGCCCCGCCGAGGUUUGCCACUGUCUCGUAAUCCGCACAGCCCUUUUUUUAGAAAACCGAUUGGUUUUCCGUCGUUUUUUUAGUUUUCGUUUUUUUAUUAGAUCGUUUUUUUCGGUUUAGGUUAAAUAGCGAGCGUUCGCUCGUUUGUUCGUUUAAACGAACACGUUCAUCGUUUAGAUCUGGAUAACGAACAUUCGUUCGUUAAUCUGUUCGUCGUUUUCUUUUUCUUGGAUUAAAUCCGCGAUUUUUCUGAUCGCGAUUCCUCAUCCGAUUUUCGUUUUAGUAUAACUUUUCACUCGUUUAUCGGAAUGAGGCGAUUCAAGCGCCUAGAGUUUCGUCUUGAAACCCUCUAUCCGUUUAACCAACUUAAACAAGAUUUUGCUAUUGUAAAACUUUCCCUAGAUCCAGAUUACUAGAACGAAGUUGUUUUUUUCGCCGUUUGACUUUCGUUGCUUCGUUCGAUUUGAUUCUUUUUGCCAACCAGAGUUCUUAAGUUGAACCUUCUGGUUAGAUCUCUUAUUUGAGUUAUACCUGUGCAUUAGAUGAGUACUUAUCGUAUGCUUGUUUGUUUGUCUGCGAUAGAGUACUCGGAGUGCGUCGCGUGUUGCUUCGAAUCGUUAGGUUUCGCGGAUCAUCAGCAAGGCAAGUAACACUUUGAUCAUACCUUUUCUACUACCCAGUUUUAUUGCAUUAGAUCAAAUCCUCACACAUUGCAUGUUUAGGAUCUCAUUAAAUUGUGGGAUGGGAAGUAGAUGAGGUAGUACCUAUUACCUGUGUAUUGUCAAACCUUUGGGAGUUACUUCUACGUUUGCUUAUUAUGCCAUGCUAUGCUAGUAGACGUGGAUUGGGUGAGUGAUAUCCAUGACAGAUGUGAGUUUUGUUAAUUAAUGGUUUAUCUAAGGUGGCAACUUAAACACACAUCUGGGUGGAUUGAGGCACCUGGGUAUUCCAGGACUUGCCUGUUUUCUUUUGGACCACCACCCAGGCUCAAAGGGAUCAUGAGACUAUUCAUACUAGAAACUUCCGUGUGCAGCCACAAGCUAUUAUGGGCUCUAGCAUAGUUGACUAAGUUGUGCGAACUCUUACAGUGGUAGACUAGCAGAUGUAGGGGAUGUAGGUGGUACGGUCUACCCGAUCGUAAGGUGCUAGCGCUUCUGAAAGACUAUGUCUCGGUCAUCCGUCUUCUCAAACAUCAUGUAGUGCGAGAAAUCAAACGGAGGCGAUCGAGUCUUGUGGGGAAAAGUGCACAAACCUCUGCAGAGUGUAACAAACUAAUCAUGAUUAGCCGUGUCCCCGGUUAUGGACAUCUUGAGUAUCUAGUACUUGGAUUAUCAUGUGAAUCUCAACAUGUUACUCUAAAUUAAUUUUGUUGGGUUAUGUUUAAUGAUGAUGCUUAAUUGGGAUUGAGAAUGCUGUCAACCAUUCUCAAUGUUUAACAACCACCAUGAUAGUAAUUAAAUUUUAUUCCUUUGAAGUAGGGAAAAAUUGACUUUACGCAAAACUGUAACCAUAGAGCUUUCCACCAGCCAAAUAUGCAUGUAGUAUAGCUGUUGCAUUCCAUUACUCUCUAUGUGUUACCUUGCCAGCAUAUUCCAUGUGUUGACCCGUUUUCGGGCUGCAAUGUUAAUAUUGCAGACUUUUCAGACGACGAUUAAGGAGUUUUAGGUCGUGGUCCUAUACUCAGUGAUGCCGUUGGAGUUGAUGGACUCACUUAUCUUCCAAGCCUUCCGUUGUUAUCGUUAUUAGAUGGCCUUAAGCCUUAUUUAUUGUAAUAAGUUCUCUUUUGAGACACUCGAUGUAAUAAGUGUGUGAUUGCUACUCUGCUAUAAAUCCUCCGAGUACUGUGUGGUGUCAGCAUUACUGAUCCAGGGAUGACACCGGAGCACAGAGAUCAGACCGUUUGAGGUCUGGUUGCUACAUAACCACAUGCACGACUUUCGAAAGUUCAAACCCUACAGGGGUGUCCCAACUUAGCCCAUCACAAGCUCUCACAGUCAACGGAGGAUAUUCCUUCUAGUGGGAAGACCCGAUCAGACUCGGAAUCCCGAUUACAAGACAUUUCGACAAUGGUAAAACAAGACCAGCAAAGCCACCCGGAUGUGCCGACAAAUCCCGAUAGGAGCUGCACAUAUCUUGUUCUCAGGGCACACCGGAUGAGCCAGACGUCGGGCGAGCCAGCCCAGACUUGCCCCUGGUAGCCUCGAACAUCGCUCAGUUUGGACCAACACUUAGAGAAGCACUGGCCUGGGGGGGGGGGUUAAAAUAAGAUGACCCUUGAGCCAGCCGACCCAAGGGAAAGAAAAAGGCUAGGUGGCAAAUGGUAAAACCAAUGUUGGGCCUUCCUGGAGGAGUUUUAUUCAAGGCGAACUGUCAAGGGGUUUCCAUUAUAACCCAACCGCGUAAGGAACGCAAAAUCCGGGAACAUAAUACCGGUAUGACGGAAACUAGGGCGGCAAGAGUGGAACAAAACACCAGGCAUAAGGCCGAGCCUUCCACCCUUUACCAAGUAUAUAGAUGCAUUAAUUAAAUAAGAGAUAUUGUGAUAUCCCAACAAAAAUAUCCAUGUUCCAAACAUGGAACAAGCUCCAAUCUUCACCUGCAACUAACAACGCUAUAAGAGGGGCUGAGCAGAGCGGUAACAUAGCCAAACAACGGUUUGCUAGGACAAGGUGGGUUAGAGGCUUGGCUUAACAAUAUGGGAGACAUGAUAAGCAAGUGGUAGGUAUCGUAGCAUAGGCAUAGAAAAAGAGCGAGCAACUAGCAAGCAAAGAUAAAAGUGAUUUCGAGGGUAUGGUCAUCUUGCCUGAAACCCCACAAGGAAGAAGAACGAGUCCACGAAGAAGACAAACGGACGUAGUCAACGGAUCCUCACAAACGCAACGUUACCGGAACCAACCCGAAGAAGCAACACCGGAAAGGAGCAAACAACAUAGUAAACAACCAUCACAUAAUCAUGGCACGAUGCGCAAACAAGUAUGAUGCAUGUCCGGUUUAACGAGGCAUGGCAUGGCAAAGUGCACAAACAACCCUACAAAUUAAGUGGAGCUCAAUAUGCAAAGAGUUGCAUAUUGACGAAACACCACGACAAGUUAUUUAGUCCGAUCUCGUUUAUGUACCCAACAAUAUUAAAUGUUGUUAAACAUGGCAAGAGGGUGAAGCAAAGUAAAACUACCUAUCUAGUCAAGGUUAAAUGAGGCCGGAAGCAACGAACAACAAUUCGGGUAAAUCCCCAUAUGCAUAUAUUAGGUUUGGUACUGUUCUGCUCUAAACACAAUUUUAGAGUUGUUAAACAUGCAAAGUGAUGCCACCAUGUUAAACUAGGCAUUUUUCUACCCCAUUUACAUAUAAAUAUUAUUUAAAAUGGAGCUACGGUUAAUUAGUUAUGAAUUAAAGCAUUUUAACAAGUUAUUUAAGCAAAUUUAAACAACUAGCAUAUUAAACAUUUUAAACAUGGAUGAAAGUGGCAUAUUAAGAAACUAGAUGAAAUUUUAGUCAAGUUGCACAUAUAAAACAUUUUAAACCAAUGCAUGGUUAAUUUGUUAUUAACAAUGCAAAACAGUGGCAAAAUGAUGUAAUUAUGCAUGCACUCGAUAUUAGGAAAUUCGUCAGCAGGAAAAAAAAAUAGCCGGGCCGAAUGCAACGUACUGUGCAAGCCCAACAGCAGAUCUAGCCCGAAGCAAACGUGGAUGUGCAAAAUAACAGGAAAACAAAGCAAAAUAAGCAAGUGGUAGGUAUCGUAGCAUAGGCAUAGAAAAAGAGCGAGCAACUAGCAAGCAAAGAUAAAAGUGAUUUCGAGGGUAUGGUCAUCUUGCCUGAAACCCCACAAGGAAGAAGAACGAGUCCACGAAGAAGACAAACGGACGUAGUCAACGGAUCCUCACAAACGCAACGUUACCGGAACCAACCCGGAGAAGCAACACCGGAAAGGAGCAAACAACAUAGUAAACAACCAUCACAUAAUCAUGGCACGAUGCGCAAACAAGUAUGAUGCAUGUCCGGUUUAACGAGGCAUGGCAUGGCAAAGUGCACAAACAACCCUACAAAUUAAGUGGAGCUCAAUAUGCAAAGAGUUGCAUAUUGACGAAACACCACGACAAGUUAUUUAGUCCGAUCUCGUUUAUGUACCCAACAAUAUUAAAUGUUGUUAAACAUGGCAAGAGGGUGAAGCAAAGUAAAACUACCUAUCUAGUCAAGGUUAAAUGAGGCCGGAAGCAACGAACAACAAUUCGGGUAAAUCCCCAUAUGCAUAUAUUAGGUUUGGUACUGUUCUGCUCUAAACACAAUUUUAGAGUUGUUAAACAUGCAAAGUGAUGCCACCAUGUUAAACUAGGCAUUUUUCUACCCCAUUUACAUAUAAAUAUUAUUUAAAAUGGAGCUACGGUUAAUUAGUUAUGAAUUAAAGCAUUUUAACAAGUUAUUUAAGCAAAUUUAAACAACUAGCAUAUUAAACAUUUUAAACAUGGAUGAAAGUGGCAUAUUAAGAAACUAGAUGAAAUUUUAGUCAAGUUGCACAUAUAAAACAUUUUAAACCGAUGCAUGGUUAAUUUGUUAUUAACAAUGCAAAACAGUGGCAAAAUGAUGUAAUUAUGCAUGCACUCGAUAUUAGGAAAUUCGUCAGCAGGAAAAAAAAAUAGCCGGGCCGAAUGCAACGUACUGUGCAAGCCCAACAGCAGAUCUAGCCCGAAGCAAACGUGGAUGUGCAAAAUAACAGGAAAACAAAGCAAAAUAAGCAAAAUGGGGGCUGCUGGGAUUCGAACCCCAGACCCCUUGAAUGGAUAGAGGCUUCGCUAGCCACUGAGCUAGCUCUCCGUUUGUGAUGCAAAGGGAGAUGGACAUAAAAAAUAAAGCAUGUGGGCACCGCGGCUAGGACACAACCUGAAGCGGGCGCACGGGGACUCGCCAGCGACGGGAGUGAACAGCAACUGCUGCUGUGGUUGCAGAGGACCGACGGGGAUGCGGAAACCUGCUAGGGAGGCCGCGGUGGGGCAAGAACCUGGAGGUGCGCUGGUUGGAACUCCGGCAAGCCGGCCUCGGCAGGGACCCAGCCAGAAUCAGACGGGGACAUGCGGAGGCGCGGCUCGACGGCAAGGCCGAAGCAGGGGAGGCCGUGACAGGGGGUGGCGAGGCAGGGGACGGCGACAUCGAUGAAGUGGUCCGGCGAGGUCCGGCACGAGACGCCGUGGACGGAAGGCUGCAAGGAGCUCCCUGGGAGGCGUCGAGCAUGGCGGCUACAGAGCUUCAAGCUUCGGUGGGGCGCAUCCAUGGCGUGGGGAUUCUGCGAGGAAAACACAGAGAGGGGCGAGACGUGAGAGGAGAAGGAAGGAACCAUAGGAAAGGAAGGGAGAGGUGGCGCUGUUCUUGGUGGUGGUCGACGCAGCGGCGCUGGUCGUCGGGCGAAGAGGGCCUCGGACAACUUCACGAUCCACUCGGGAUCGAGGGGAGAAGAGGCAGGCCUCGGGCGCCUGGGGAAGAAGCAGCGGAGGCAGGAGUCGCGUCGGACAAGGAGACGAGGUGGUAGGGCGGCGGUGGUCUUGUAGGUGAGGAGGGACUCCGGCGGCGUCGAAGCAGAGGAACGGCAACACGGCGCGGCGGCGGAAGCUUCUGCUGCUGCUGCUCCAAGAGAGGAAGAGAGGUCAGGGAGGCAGAGAGAGCUUCAGCGAAGGAGAGAAAAAAAUGGCAGGGCGGUGAGGACGGCCUGCUGGUUCGUGCGAGGAACGGAGCAACUCCAGCGGAAAUCGGACGCCACGGCGGACUCCAACGACUUGGCGGGGCGGCGGGUCGAGGUCGAGGGCGAUGGGGAGCUGCGGGAGGAGCUCGGGCAGAGGUGCUCGGGAUGGAGGGGAUCGAGAGGGGCUGGUGAUUGGUGGGUUUGGAUCGGGAGGGAUCCCGAGAGAGUAGCAGCGGCGCUAGGGAAAGGAUGGAUGGGACAAGGCCCCUAGAAUUUAGGGUUGCAGGUUUAUAUAGUGGGUCUAUACUAUACGCAGACUAAUGGAAGCCCUUCGAUUUAAAUCAGACGGCUGAGGAGAAAAAUAGGUUAGGAAGUCCAAUAAACGAAACAGAGAUGUUUUGUAGACGUUUGGGGAUGAUCCGGACACAACGGUGGUGACAGUCCGGGUCGGGUCCGGGACAGCUUUUCGGACGCGCACGCGAGGAGAGCCGCGGGCUGACGAGAGAGGUUAGGUAGGGUCUGACGUUGAGUAGUGGACUGUGCAUAAGUCCUCAGGCUGAGAGAAGAGAAGAGAGAGAGACCCGGCGACUGUUUCCGGAGACCGAAAACGUCCGACAUUUGACCGACUAUAAUGUCGCUAUAGUUAACCGUUGGGUUAUCAAACGAACGCCGAAUGCGAUGAAACUUGGCAGGCGGCCUACCUACAACAUAAAAACAUCACAUGCCAACUUUCAACCCAUCCCGAUAACAUUUUCCGACCACUAAUAAGAAAAAUAUUUCGGAGGUGCCGCGGGCGCGUGCAAGAGAGGUUGGGCUCAGAACGGACAACAGACGGAACUAGGGGAACCCGAACAGAUGAAGGUUUGAAAACAUGAUGAUGUAAUGCAUAUGAUGACAUGAUACAAUGCACAUGAUGCAAAGAUGAAUGCAAUAAGCCAACAACUCACAUGACGAAAACCCGGAAACCCUGGAAGGCAUCUGAAGCUCCGGUCUUGGGGCGUCACAGCGACCAGCGCAAAUAAACGCCGCAGCAAAACAAAUCCAGAACUGAAACCACUUCAGAAGAUCUCAAAAACAAUAUCCUGGGUAACCAUAAUGCUAGCAAGAUGCUUAGCAAGCUUAUUAACUUUCUCUUGUUUGGUGCUUAAAUCCUCCAGCGCUUGCUGUUGCACCAAAAAAUAUGCAUCUGAAUUCUGCAGGGACUUCCUCAGUCCUUCAGCUUCCUGUCGCAGCACAUCUGAUCGAUGUCUUUCAACUUGAAGUUGAGACUCAAGAAGACGAAUUGAUUCAGGCAGCGAGUUCGAAGAGCUUGUGCCAGCAGUAGUGGCCAGUAACUCGAACACUACAUCAAGACAGGACUUUUGGGUUCCCUCACCGUCGUCAAGAUAGUUUUUAUCAGCUUUCUUGGAGACCAACAGGGAUGUCUCACUAUCUUAAACCUUAUCUGCAUUACUUCCUUUACCAUUGGAUAACGCGGUACUGUUCUCCAAUAUUUUGUCCGCAUUCUAAAAGAGAAACAAGCAGACACAUCACAUGUUUACCAUGUUGUAUAUGAAACUCAUUUUGGUAAAUGAGUUCAGUAGUAAAGUGGACAGGAUAACAACAUGAAACAAACAUAUAUCUAUGUAUCAUGGUCACUUUAUGGUCUAUAUCAUUCUAGUUUUUUUUGCCAAAUCAAGAUAGAGACACAGUUCAAAUAAUAUUUGUUCAAGACAAAGCAGAAUAGACAGAAUAUAAGUGUGGGUAACUAUAGACCAAUAACAACACUUGUAAUGUGCAUGACAUGAGAACAUAACUCUUUAUUCAAUUGAAACUAAAAUCAACAUAGAGCAGGUUACAACAGCAAACCAGUUAAAGAAACAGGUUUAAAACAUACCUGUUGCGCCAUUGGAGUUUCAGUUCCAUCCUUCAAAUUUGAAAAUAGUUGGUAUGAGUAAAUACAGUCAUGCAAGAGCAAAGGAGUAUGAACCAUAGCUAUAGAACCUGACCUAAGAACAAAUCUUCUUCUCCUUUAAGCAUUGAGUUGGGAUUCGGAGUGGUGGUCCUCGUGCUUUGGGCACUGCAGUUCCAUUACUAACUACUCGUGUUUGGGUGCUCUGUGGUGGAGACGGUGAUGUGUAAACUGGAACUGGGUUACUAUCUGCCGGGGUUGGGGUUAGAAGGAGUGUAGCUGGUUCUCUGUCCAACUGGGUAGGGGUACAAUCUGCGAGAGUCUGGGUUAUGUGCGGUGGAUCUGGUCCUUGGGCAAGCACAACCGUGGUUCUAUCUGCAUCAACUGGUAGCACUAUCUUUUCUGAAGACCGUGUUGUUACUCCCUUAGAUACUGCCAUCACGCUCUCCAAUUCAAAUGGCUGAUAAACAAGAAAAGUAAUUGAAAGUAUAGACAUUGUAUGAUAGACAUGUGCAAUGGAUAGUGGGGAAUAAAAGAGGGCAUGAAAUAAUUCAUAUUUAUGUUGUCUAACCAAACAGGAUAGCAUGACACAAUUUCACAUAUAUGAUGGCUAACUAAACAUGAUAGCAUGACACAAUUUCACAUUAUGAUGGCUAACUAAAAAAGAUGGAAAGACAUAGUUCAAAAUAUGAGACUAUGUAAACAGGAUGACAUGACAUAACUAUAUAAUGUGUUUAUUAAAUAGGUUGGCAUGCCAUAAUUCACAUACAUUCAUAGAUAGAAUGCCAUAAUUCAAAAUAUGAUGACUGUAAACACUAAACAGGAUGAGAUGAUAUAACUAUAUGAUGUCUUUAUUAAAUGGGUUGCCAUGCCAUAAUUUAGAUAGAUGAUGUGUAUGUACUAUGUAAACGUGAUGGCAUGAUAUAAUUCAAAUAUAUGAUUUAUAUAGUAAGCAAGUAAGCAGAUGGCAAUCCAUCACUAGUAGAAAACAGGGCUUUGGUCCAGGCCGUGUCAGCCCAAUAGUCCCGGUUCAGUCCAGAACUGGGACCAAUGUGGGCAUUGGUCCCGGUUCGUGAGCCCAGGGGGCCGGCCGGGCCACGUGGGCCAUUGGUCCCGGUUCAUCUGGACCUUUUGGUCCCGGUUGGUGGGAUGAACUGGAACCAAUGGGCCUCGCUCCUGGCCCACCACCAUUGGCCCCGGUUGGUGGCUUGAACCGGGACCAAAGGCUCCCCUUUAGUCCCGGCUCAAGUCACCAACCGGGACCAAUGAGGUGCCUAUAUAUACCCCUCGCUCGCGAGCAGAGCACCCCAGUGCUCUGUUUUUCUCUGGCCGAGGGGGAGAGGGCUUGGUGGUGCUCUAGCUCACCUCCUAUGCACACAAGGUGUUCGAUGGAAUGCCCGAGCCACACUACUUAAGCUUUCUCCUCUCCAAGCUCGACCUCCAAGCUCCAUUUUCCAUAAUAUUUGUCUAGGUUUAGCGGUCCGUCACGCCCCGUCCCCGUCUUCACCGCCGUCGAUCACCCGCGCCGAGCUCAUCACCGGAACCACCGUGGUGAGCCUCUUGUUCUUAUCUUCUUUCUGAAAGGAAAAAUAUUCUUACUUGUAUGUUUGGAUAGAUACUUGUAUUAUUUUCUUACUUUUAUUAUUGCAUCUUAUAUAGUGCGAUGGUUUUGGUAUCCGCCCUCGUCGGCCCUCGUCCUGUCUAUGAUUCAGAUGUGGUAUAUAUAUUAUCUUUAUAACUAUUGGUUCAUUUAUUGUUUACGAAAAUUAUGCCGACCAACGUGACAUAGAUUUUAUUUAUGUCGGAUGUAUGUGAAUCGGAAAUGCCAACCGACCCUAUUGUUAAGAGGUUAAAUUUAGUUAAAGAAGAAAACAAUUUGUUGAAGGAAAAAAUAAAAAAAAUUGAGGAGGAGAAGAUGAUAUUGGAGUUGCAUGUUGCGGAUGUCGUCGAUGAUCACAAGAUCAAGAUGGAUGCAAUGCGCUUGAAGAUUAGAAAGAUUAGAAAAUAUGCCAUUCACACCGAGGCUUGGUAUCAUUAUGCCGUUGGAUCAAUUGUUAACUUGGUUGCGAUUAUGAUCACAUUUGUUUUCGCAUUGAAAUGUUUUACGUAGUUUCAAUGUAUGGUUUAAUUAAUUAGAUGCUCUGGAGAGCUAUAUGUUGUUAAAUGAGAACUAUAUAUGCACUUUGGUUUUAAUGUGAUGAUGAACUUCUAUUAAUUUGGACACUUAAUUAUAUAUAAUGCAUGCAGAUAAACCGGCAAUGGAUGUAUGGUGAUAGACACACCCGCAAGUACAUUAAGGGCAUGCAUGAGUUUCUCGAUGCGGCUGAGGCAAACAAGCAGAAUAGUUUUAUGUGUUGUCUAUGCACUGAAUGUGGGAAUACGAGGUCUUACUCUAACCGAAAAAUCCUUCACUCCCACCUUCUUUACAAGGGUUUCAUGCCACACUAUAAUGUUUGGACGAGGCACGAAGAAAUAGGGGUUAUGAUGGAAGACGACGAAGAAGAAGAGUACGAUGACAACUAUGUGCCCCCUGAAUACGGUGAUGCUGCAAUGGGGGGAGCUGGUGAAGAUCAAGAGGAACCAGACGAUGUGCCCAAUGAUGCUGCAACGGGUGAAGCUACUGAAGAUCAAGAGGAACCAGACGAUGUGCCCGAUGAUGAUGAUCUCCGCCGGGUCAUUGUCGAUGCAAGGACGCAAUGUGAAAGUCAAAAGGAGAAGCUGAAGUUCGAUCGCAUGUUAGAGGAUCACAAAAAGGGUUAUACCCCAAUUGCGAAGAUGGCAACACAAAGCUCGGUACCGUACUGGAAUUACUGUAGUGGAAGGCAGAGAAUGCUGUGGCUGACAAAGGAUUUGAGAAGCUACUGAAAAUAUUGAAGAAGAAGCUUCCAAAGGAUAACGAAUUGCCCGACAGUACAUACGCAACAAAGAAGGUCGUAUGCCCUCUAGGAUUGGAGGUGGAGAAGAUACAUGCAUGCCCUAAUGACUACAUCCUCUACCGUGGUGCAUACAAGGAUCUGAACGCAUGCCCGGUAUGCGGUGCAUUGCGGUAUAAGAUCAGACGAGAUGACCCUGGUGAUGUUGACGGCGAGCCCCUCAGGAAGAGGGUUCCUGCGAAGGUGAUGUGGUAUGCUCCUAUAAUACCACGGUUGAAACAUCUGUUCAGAAACGAAGAGCAUGCCAAGUUGAUGCGAUGGCACAGUGAGAACCGAAAGAAAGAUGGGAAGUUGAGAGCACCCGCUAACGGGUCGCAGUGGAGAAAAAUUGAGAGAAAGUACUGGGAUGAGUUUGCAAAGGACCCAAGGAAUGUAUGGUUUGCUUUAAGCGCGGAUGGCAUUAAUCCUUUCGGGGAGCAGAGCAGCAAUCACAGCACCUGGCCCGUGACUCUAUGUAUGUAUAACCUUCCUCCUUGGAUGUGCAUGAAGCGGAAGUUCAUUAUGAUGCCAGUUCUCAUCCAAGGCCCUAAGCAACCCGGCAACGAAAUUGAUGUGUACCUAAGGCCAUUAGUUGAAGAACUUUUACAGCUGUGGAAUGGAAACGGUGUACGUACAUGGGAUGAGCACAGACAGGAGGAAUUUAACCUUAAGGCUUUGCUGUUCAUGACCAUCAACGAUUGGCCCGCUCUCAGUAACCUUUCAGGACAGACAAACAAAGGAUACCACGCAUGCACGCACUGUUUAGAUGACACUGAAAGUAUAUACCUGGACAAAUGCAGGAAGAAUGUGUACCUGAGCCAUCGUCGAUUUCUUCUGACCAACCAUCAAUGUCGAAAGAAAGGCAAGCAUUUCAAAGGCGAGGCAGAUCACCGGAAGAAGCCCGCCAUGCGCACCGGUGAUCACGUGCUUGCUAUGGUCAAUGAUUUAUGGUACGUAAUCUUUGGAAAGGGUCCCGGUGGACUAGCUAUUCCGAAUGACGCUGAGGGACACGCACCCAUGUGGAAGAAGAAAUCUAUAUUUUGGGACCUACCCUACUAGAAAGACCUAGAGGUCCGCUCCUCAAUCGACGUGAUGCACGUGAUGAAGAACCUUUGCGUGAACCUGCUAGGCUUCUUGGGCGUGUAUGGGAAGACAAAAGAUACACCUGAGGCAUGGGAGGACCUGCAACGUUUGCACGAAAAAGAUGGCAUGCCUCCGAAGCAGUAUAAAGGUCCUGCUAGCUACGCUCUUACGAAAGAAGAGAAAGAAAUCUUCUUUGAAUGCCUGCUCAGUAUGAAGGUCACGACUGGCUUCUCGUCGAAUAUAAAGGGAAUAAUAAAUAUGCCAGAGAAAAAGUUUCAGAACCUAAAGUGUCAUGACUGCCACGUGAUUAUGAUGCAACUGCUUCUGGUUGCAUUGAGGGAGCUUCUACCGGAAAACGUCCGAUUAGCCAUUGUGAAGCUAUGUGCAUUCCUCAAUGCAAUCUCUCAGAAGGUGAUCGAUCCAGAAAUCGUACCAAGGCUAAGGAGUGAUGUGGCGCAAUGUCUUGUCAGUUUCGAGCUGGUGUUCCCACCAUCCUUCUUCAAUAUCAUGACGCACGUCCUAGUUCAUCUAGUCGACGAGAUUGCCAUCCUGGGGCCCGUAUUUCUACACAAUAUGUUCCCCUUUGAGAGGUUCAUGGGAGUCCUAAAGAAAUAUGUCUGUAACCGCGCUAGGACAUAAGGAAGCAUCUCCAUGGGCCAUCAAAUAGAGGAUGUUAUCGGGUUUUGUGUUGACUUCAUUCCUGGCCUUAAGAAGAUAGGUCUCCCUAAAUCGCGGUAUGAGGGGAGACUGACUGGAAAAGGCACUCUUGGAAGAGACUCAAUAAUAUGCAGGGAUGGAUAUUCUUGGUCUCAAGCAAACUACACAGUUCUACAUAACUCUACCUUGGUGACCCCGUAUGUCGAUGAACACAAGAACAGUCUGCGCUCCAAACACCCGGAGCAGUGCGACGACUGGAUUACAUGUGAACACAUCAGGACUUUCAACAGUUGGUUAGAAACACGUCUCAGAGGUGACAACACUGUUUGUGAUGAGUUGUACUUGUUGUCCAGGGGACCAUCUUUGACUGUAUUGACUUACAAAGGAUACGAGAUAAAUGGGAAUACAUUUUACACGAUCGCCCAAGAUCAAAAGAGCACCAACCAAAACAGCGAUGUCCGCUUUGAUGCAGCAACCGAGAGCGGAAAGGACACAUAUUAUGGUUACAUAGUGGACAUAUGGGAACUUGACUACGGACCUGAUUUUAAGGUCCCUUUGUUUAAGUGCAAAUGGGUCAAUCUGUUAGGCGGCGGGGUACAGGUAGACCCACAGUACGGAAUGACAACAGUGGAUCUAAAAAAUCUUGGGUACACCGACGAACCGUUCGUCCUAGCCAAUGAUGUGGCACAGGUUAUCUUUGUGAAGGACAUGUCUACCAAACCGAGAAAAAGAAAAGAUAAGGAAGCGAAUACAUCAUACGAAGAGCCAAAGCGCCACAUAGUUCUUUCAGGAAAAAGGGACAUCCUGGGAGUGGACGGCAAGACAGACAUGUCUGAAGAUUAUGAAAAGUUUCAUGAAAUUCCUCCCUUCAAUGUCAAGGCUGACCCAAGCAUCCUGAUAAACAAUGAAGAUUAUCCAUGGUUACGGCGCAAUAAGCGAAUGACACAAGCGAAGAAGAAGUGAAGACUUUCUCCCGCAACUAUUAUGAUGAUACCAUGCCAACUUUGUAACACACGAACAUGCUACCAUUGUCCGUUUUGUACAUGCACAUGCUAUGUGGGUGAAAUUAUGAUACCAUGCCAACUUUCAACUUUUUCAGAGUUCAUUUGAAAUGCUUUCAUGUCUUAUGGUUCGGCCCUCGUAAUACCAUGACCAUUAGUCCCUGGCCCAUGCCAACUUUCAACUUUCAACUUUCUAAAACUAAUGGCACUAACAAAAAGUUUAUAAUUUUGCUCCUCGCCCCUGGCCCAUGACCAUUAGUCCCGGUUUGUGCCACAAACCGGGACUAAAGGGUUGGCCCUCAUUACGGGCAGAGUUUAGUCCCACCUCGCCAAUCGAAGGGGGCUCACACCGGUUUAUAAGCCAUUUCCUCUCUGCCUUGUUGAGCUCCUCUCAAAGUGAAAAUAGAUGCCCUAAUAGAGAAAAGUUUAACCUAAAUUCAUAGUGAAUUUCUCUGAAAUUCAUAGAAAUUUACUAGGAAUUUAGGUUGAAUUUUCUCUAUAAGCGCAUCUAUUCUCAUUUUUUUAGUAAGUUAAUCACAAACUUGUGAUUCAAACAAUUUUCAAAGAAUUCAAAUUUUAACUAUUCAAAUUUGAAAACUAAUGGCACUAACAGAAAGUUUAUAAUUUUUCUAAAACUAAUGGCACUANNNNNNNNNNNNNNNNNNNNNNNNNNNNNNNNNNNNNNNNNNNNNNNNNNNNNNNNNNNNNNNNNNNNNNNNNNNNNNNNNNNNNNNNNNNNNNNNNNNNNNNNNNNNNNNNNNNNNNAAUAGCAACAAUAAGUAUUUUGUUGCAAGUAGAAACAAAAUAAAAUAAAUAAAUAAAGCAAAAAAGUGAUUUCAAAUUUGAAAACUAAUGACACUAACAGAAAGUUUAUAAAUUUUCUAAAACUAAAAGCAAAAAGAAUUAAAAAAUAAAGAAAAAAACAACAAAAAAUAAAUAAUGCAGAAAGCAAAACCAAAAAACUGGAAAAAAAAUAAAAAUAGCAACAAUAAGUAUUUUGUUGUAAGUAGAAACAAAAUAAAAUAAAUAAAGCAACAAAGAAAACAAAAAAAUGUGCCACCAACUGGUCCCCCACGGCCUGAAUACGACUAGAAACCCUACCAUGGGCCAGGAUUCAGGCCCGCGGGAGGCCCAGUAGGCCCGCAGGCACAGAUUGCACGGUCAGGCCCGAAAGCCUGUAGUUGAGAGGAGGUCGAGAGGGUGGGCGCAGCAGCGCUUAUAAACCACUCUCGAGCUCUCUCAACUAGCGAGGUGGGACUAAACUUUUCGGCGCGGGGCAGCACAAGGCCUUUGGUCCCGGUUGGUGGCACCAACCGGGACUAAAGGGGGGCACGACCCGGGACUANNNNNNNNNNNNNNNNNNNNNNNNNNNNNNNNNNNNNNNNNNNNNNNNNNNNNNNNNNNNNNNNNNNNNNNNNNNNNNNNNNNNNNNNNNNNNNNNNNNNNNNNNNNNNNNNNNNNNNNNNNNNNNNNNNNNNNNNNNNNNNNNNNNNNNNNNNNNNNNNNNNNNNNNNNNNNNNNNNNNNNNNNNNNNNNNNNNNNNNNNNNNNNNNNNNNNNNNNNNNNNNNNNNNNNNNNNNNNNNNNNNNNNNNNNNNNNNNNNNNNNNNNNNNNNNNNNNNNNNNNNNNNNNNNNNNNNNNNNNNNNNNNNNNNNNNNNNNNNNNNNNNNNNNNNNNNNNNNNNNNNNNNNNNNNNNNNNNNNNNNNNNNNNNNNNNNNNNNNNNNNNNNNNNNNNNNNNNNNNNNNNNNNNNNNNNNNNNNNNNNNNNNNNNNNNNNNNNNNNNNNNNNNNNNNNNNNNNNNNNNNNNNNNNNNNNNNNNNNNNNNNNNNNNNNNNNNNNNNNNNNNNNNNNNNNNNNNNNNNNNNNNNNNNNNNNNNNNNNNNNNNNNNNNNNNNNNNNNNNNNNNNNNNNNNNNNCCCAGCUGCCCCGCGCCGCCGUCGCCUCUGCCUCGCUGUGGUCUGGGCCGGCACCGCCCCCCUCUUCCCCCUUUUUUUUGCAAACACAUAUAUGUUUUUUUCCUGCAGAUUAUAUGUAUAUGUAUGAGUAUAUGAUGAUGUAUGAGUAUAUGUAUGUGCUGAAAAGAUAGAUUUUUAGAAAAAAUACUAUUUUUUUCUGUUGAUGAUAUGAUGAUGUUUUUUUUCAUAUAUGUAUUAAUUUUUUUAAGUUGUUAGUAGAUAUCAAUUUUAGGUUAGUGCAUUUUAUCACUGAUUUUAGGUUAGUUGAUCGAUUUAGUGCAUUUUAUGUUUGUUGCAUUUUAGGUUAGUGCAUUUGCUAAGUGAUAUUAAGAAAAGGAAGGAAAAGAAGGAUAGGAAAGAAGAAAAUAAGAAGAGGAAAGAAAGAAUAAGAGGAGAGGAAGAAAAGGAGAAAUAAAUAAGAAGAAGAAAAAAGAAGAAAAAGAAGAGGAGAAGAAGAAAGGAAUAGUGAAGAAGAGAAAAUAGAAUAUUCUAUUUUCUCUUCUUCUCCACUAUUCCUUUCUUCUUCUCCUCUUUUUUUCUUCUUUUUUUUCUUCGAUCUUAUCCUCUAGCUAUUCCUUUCUUCGAGGGUUCUAUAGGGUCGAGGGAUCGAGGGUCGAGGGUUCCAGGGUCGUCUAGGGGUCGAGGGUUCCAGGGUCGUCGAGGGUUCGAGGGGUCGAGGAUCGCCGAGGGGUCGAGAGAGGUUUCCUAGUGUCAAAGUAUUGAAGAAAUCCAUGGCUUCAUCAUUAGCCGGAAGUAACCAGGGCAUGACGAAGUCCUCCAAAGUUAUUUUGGAAUGGUGUCCCGGAUAGGAUAAUUUGCCUUUUUGUAUGAAUUUUAGCAAAGGCCUUCCAAAUAAUGAUAUUUGGAAGGUUCUUGCUGAACUUUGUACCAAAAAGCGAAUUAUCUUAUCUGGGACUCCGUUCCAAAAUAACUUUGGAGAGCUUCAUACCAUCAUGCACCUGUUACUUUCGCCUAAUGAUGAAGACAUGGUUUUGUUGAAUCCUUUGACACUAGGCAACCUCCCGACCCCUCGGCGAUCCUCUCAAACAUGAGAGGAAGAAGAGGAUAAAAAAAGAAGAGGAAGAAGAAGAAAAAGAGGACAAGAAAGAAUAGAGGAGAUCUUCUCCUCUAUUCUUUCUUCUCCUCUUUUUUUUCUUCUUCUUCCUCUUUUUUUUAUCGGGAACGAGGGUCGUCGAGGGUCGCCGAGCGGUAGAGGAGAAACCCUAAAUAGAAAGUAUCGUCAGUGUGAGAUACAUGUACCGUCAGUGUCGGACACUACAUGCACGUCCCACAAGUGGCGCGGGCUUCGACUCCCACGUCACUUGUGGGACGUGGAUGUAGUGUCCGACACCGACAGCCACAUGUAUCUCACACCCACGAUACUUGCUAUUUAGGGUUUCCUCUACCGUUCGGCGACCCUGACGCUCGACGACCCUCGUUUCCGAUAAAAUAAAGAGGAAGAAGAAAAAAAAGAGAAGAAGAGAAGAAGAAGAAAAAAAAGAGGAGAAUUAUUCUCCUCUUUUUUUCUUCUUCUUCUCUUCUUCUCUUUUUUCUUCUUCUUCUUCUUCCUCUUUAUUUUAUCGGGAACGAGGGUCGUCGAGGGUCGCCAAGCGGUAGAGGAGAAACCCUAAAUAGAAAGUAUCGUCGGUGUGAGAUACAUGUACCGUCGGUGUCGGACACUACAUCCACGUCCCACAAGUGGCGCAGGCUUCGACGCCCACGUCACUUGUGGGACGUGGAUGUAGUGUCCGACACCGACGGCCACAUGUAUCUCACACCCACGAUACUUGUUAUUUAGGGUUUCCUCUAUCGCUCGGUGACCCUCGGCGACCCUCGUUUCCGAUAAAAAAAAGAGGAAGAAGAAGAAAAAAAGAGGAGAAGAAAGAAUAGAGGAGUUCUUACUCCUCUAUUCUUUCUUCUCCUCUUUUUUUUCUUCUUCCUCUUCUUUUUUUAUCCUUGAAGCGUUGUCGAGGCCACCCCAAACCCUAGAGAAGCAGCGUCGAGGCCACCCCAAACCCUAGAGAAGCAGCGUCGAGGCCACUAAUUAAUAUUAGUUCUAUGUUUUUGCCACUAAUAUAUCCAUCUGUCAUGUUUGAAUAAUAAUUGCCAUGUUGUCAAUAUUUGUAGAAACUAUGGACACCGCCCGAGAUGAAGUACAAGAAGAGUUGUUGGGGGACAUAAUCGCACAAGGAAGUGAUGCCAUCUGCUCGUUGUUUCUCAACGACACCGAUGGUCUGGAAGCAGCUCGCUAUGAUUAUGAUGGCUUCGGUGACCUAAUGUCGGUGCAAGAAGGAGACCGUGAGGACGGCUCCGGUGACCCAAUGCCGGUGCAAGAAGGAGACCGUGAUGACGCCAGAUAUAUAUAUUAGUUAAGCUUCUGCUGACUAGCUAAUUGAUGCAUUCAUUGUUUUGGUAUGUACACAUAUUAAUUAAGUCUUUGUUCUUUUUUCUAGCCCUUCGGAUCGAGCACAACUUCGGUAAAGAGACGAGGCCUGAAGAAAAAGUUGAGCUCGGAUGAAAAGUUUGAGAUCAUAGCAAUCGCGCCCGACGGCCAACCGAUUGAACCCCUCCGGACAAAGAGCGCAUUUGUUGCUCAGUGCGGGGUUUUCGUUAGGGACAAGAUCCCGAUCAGCAUCCAGCAAUGGUUUAAGCCGGGUACAGAAGACCCUGAGGUGUCUUAUGUCAAUGAUAUGCAGAAAAAUGAUCUUUGGACUGAGCUGAAGUCAAAUUUCACCCUACCGCCAGAGGAUAAUCCAGAGAAGCCAGUUAAAGAGCAAUCAAUCAAGUCUUUUGCUCUUAAGAGGAUGGCAGAACUAUUCAGGAGGUGGAAGAAAGAGCUGAAUAAGUUUGUCGAAAAUAAUGAGACACCAGAAUUCAAGGGCAGAUAUGAGAAGAUCAGAGAUCACUGGCCCGCAUUUGUGGCCCACAAGACAUUGGAAAAGAGUAAGAAGAUGUCGGCGACAAACAAGCAAAAUGCUGCGAAGAAGAAGCAUCACCAUCGCACGGGGUCAGGUGGCUACCUCGUAGCCCGGACUAAGUGGGCCAAGACUGAGAAUGAUCUGGUUGAUAAAGGGAUCAAACCAGAGACAAUUAACUGGCCAGACCAUUGCCGGACUUGGUUCUUCGGGGCUGGCGGAACCUUGGACCCUGUAACAGGGAAGUGCAUUUGGAUGAAUGAUCAAAUGGACAUACCAGUCAGGAAGCUUCAGCAGUAUAUCGAAGCAGCGCAGCAAGGGACGUUCUUUCCAGACAGAGAGAACGACGAGCUCACAAUGACCCUCGGGAAUCCUGAGCACCCCGGACGGACACGAGGCAUGCCAGGCUCCAUUCCGUGGAAGGUUGGGUUUCCAGACGCAGGCGGUUACAAAUCCCAUGAGAGGAGGAAAAAAGUGCAGUAGACCCAAAUGCAGGCGCUGCAAGCAAGGGUACAAGCGAUAGAGGAACGAGAAGCAAAUCGCAGCAAAUGUACUGCCGAAGCUUCCCCCGAAGCUACCCCGCCAUCUCAGCGGAGAAGCAGCGUGGCUUCCACCGAGCUGCUUCAGCCGGAGCAUGCCUUGACGGCUCCUGCCAGCUAUCCCAUGGAUGCUAUCAUGGAGUCUCAAAAUUGCCACCUUAUGACGCAAUGGAUGAAUUUGAAGGUCAAGGCGGCUGUUGGCUCUGUUUAUCCUACUGAACCCGACGCAACUUUUCACUGUCGUCCGAUUCCAGAAGGAUAUGCUAGGGUGAUGGUGGAUGAAAUAACGGAGGGAUUUGAGGACCUCCAGCUUGACCACCCUACCGGUGAAGGGGAGACUAUGCUGGGGUCUGCUCUGAAGACUCCAUGCCUAUGGCGGAAGGAGCUCAUCAACCUUCCGAACUGGACGCCUAUGCCUCCUCCUCCUCCUCCGGCAAGUCAGGGCACUCCGCCUCCUCCACCGCCUCCUCCUCCGGCGAGUCAGGGCACUCCGCCUCCUCCACCGCCUCCUCCUCCGGCGAGUGACGAUCAGGGCACUCGACCGGCUCCUUCUCCAGCGCGUGGUGGCACUCCGCCUCCUUCUCCGCCUGCGCCGACGCGCCCGAGCAGCCAACCUCCUCCUUCUCCGCCUCGUCAGCAAGGGCGGAAGAGACCUGCCGCCACUCCGGCUGCUCCGGCGCGUCGUAGUCCUUCUCCUCCGCCUCGUAAGCAAGUAAAGAAGACAACUGCUCCGUCUGCUCGGCCGGCGUCUAGCAGUACAGCCAGAGGCGGGAGGAAAUACAGAUUUGGUCCUUCUCUGAAGACUCCACAGAAGUUACCAUACGAGAGGACCCCGGAGGAGAACGCCGAGAUCGCACAAGAAGAAGUGAGGAACUACUUUGAAGGGGUGAAAGCAAAGAAACAUCCACCUCCGGAGGAUAAGGUAGAUCCGGUGAAAGCGAAGCGCACUCUGGCUGCCCUAACAAAACCACCCAAGUCUCCGCCGAAAGGAAACUAUGAGCGCAUUAUUGGAAAGGAAUUUGCCGAAGCGGAGCGGUCGGGAAGUACUGUCAGUGAUCAAAGGCUGAAAGAACGACGAGCUGGGAAACAAAUUGCCCAGCUCGGCGAACAAGCGAAGCAAUCGUGCCCCCCGCUCAAGGUGCCUAGCGACAACGUCGCUAAUGAUCCGAGGAUGGUGCCCGGUUAUAGCAAUCUUGGCGAUUACCUGCCCAACGAUGUACAUUAUGAUUUCAUGGAGGUGCAGAUACAAAGAUACGAGUACGGGAAGCCUCUCGUCAAAGAUGAAAGAUCUCUAUCAACGAUGAUGCAAAGAUUGCAUGAUUGGUACUUGAAAAUCUGCAGAGACUCUGGGGGGAGGAGUACUUUGUAUGUGAAAGUUAAAAGGAGCAUGACCUCGUUGGAAUUGAACUGUUGCCUGUUCCAUUUGAGGAGUUCUUUCAGUUUUUCAAUCAAUUGGCCCUCGAUAAAACAACGGUCGCCUGCUACUAUCUGUAAGUAGUACUACUUCUGUCAUUAAGUCUCUCUAUAUAGCUCAGUUCUUUCAUUGCAUGUAUUUAUAAUCAUCCUCACUAUAUUAUGCAGAUUGAAGAUCGCCGAAUUAAAGAAAAGACAAGUCGGUGAUAUUGGGUUCAUUAACGCAUAUCUCAUAGAUGCAACUCAGGUUAAAUUUCAUGCCGCAGCUACCGAGGCCAACUUGCUACGAUCGUUGGUAAUAAAUGAAAACAAAGAUAUAAUACUCUUUCCUUACAACUUCAAGUGAGUGUUACUGUCUUGUGCGUAUUCGGUUUCCCUUAUAUAUUAGUCAAGGUUAUAGUAAUGUAAUUGAUGAGUUAUGCAUACGUGUGCAGUUUCCACUAUAUUCUCCUAGAGAUUAAGCUUGAGCAGGGACUAGUAACCGUCUUAGACUCAAGACGAAAAGAUCCCCAGGACUAUGCAGACAUGACUCAAAUACUCGAGAAGUAAGUUAAAUCGAUCAUUAUCCACCAUAUCAGCAACUUUGUUCAUUUCCUGAUAUAUCAAGUAAUUGUUUUCUUUGUCCGGCAGGGUUUGGAGAAAAUUCACCAGAAAAGCUCCGAGACUGCCGAAGGAGCUGCAAUUUAGACACCCGAAAGUAAGUACUAUAGUAGCAUGUUCCGUGCAUCUACUAGUGAUUCAAGCGCUAGUUUCAUCAAUACCAUUUGGCAUUCUUGCUUAUCAGUUUGAUUGACCUCUAUUUCUUGUAAAGUGGUUGUGGCAGGAACAAGGGAAUGAUUUCUGUGGAUACUACGUUUGCAAGUCCAUCCGCCACACGACCUGUGAGCGGGGCUACACUGACGAACAAUAUGAAGUACGUAAAUAACAACAUUCGCAAUUUUAUUUUAUUACCAUCAUUUGUGUUGAGUUUCAUUCAUUCAUAUAUAUAUAUAUAUAUAUAUAUAUAUGUAUUGACCCCCUUCUUUAAAUUAGAUGUUUCGUAAGCGGGAGGAACUCCUAGCACCAGCUCGCAUGCGAGCAAUUCAAGAGGAAUUGGCGGCAUUCUUUCUUGACCACGUGAUCGCUGAAGACGGAGAAUACUAUGUGGACCAUGAGUCCGUAUGAUUAUAUUUGUAAGAGAUAAUUAUUGUAUAUAUGUAGCCGAUAGUGUCGGAUAGAUAUACGAGAACUUGUUGUUCGACCAUUCUCUCGGAGAAGGAGAGGUGGUCGAUAUCACUUCUCUUUGUAUGCAUAUAUGUUCAUGACGAUCUUCUGUUUCCUUCGUUUGCUUACUAGCUAGCUAGCGUGUCUAGUCCUCUCUAUACGUAUGUAUAAUACGCAGCGUCGACCAAGCACGGACAUAAGAGAGGACACUUCUCUCUAUUAAUUUGUAACGCCCUCGAUGCGGCUAUAUCUCCCACGUGUCGAAGCACGACUUAGAGGCAUAACCGCAUUGAAAGCAAUGUCGAAAAUGAGGUAAUCUUCGCAAACAACCCACAUAAUACAAUAAGGGAAAAGAGAUACAUAGUUGGCUUACAAUCGCCACUUCACACAAUACAUGAAGAAAGCAUUACAUCAACCAAAUACAAUCAAGGUCCGACUACGGAACCAAAAUAAAAGAAGAACCCCAAAUGCGACAAGGUCCCCGAUCGACCCCAACUGGGCUCCACUACUGAUCCACUGGAAAUGAAACAACACGAAGGACAAGAUCUUCAUCGAGCUCCUCCUUGAGCUUGGUUGCGUCGUCUGCACGGACUCAUCGGCGCCUGCAAGCUGGUUUUGGAAGUAUCUGUGAGCCACGGGGACUCAGCAAUCUCGCACCCUCGCGAUCAAGACUAUUUAAGCUUAUGGGAAAGGUAAAGGUAUGAAGGUGGAGCUGCAGCAAGCGACUAGCAUAUAUGGUGGCUAAACAUACGCAAAUGAGAGCGAGAAGAGAAGGCAAAGCACGAUUGAUAAACUAUGAACAAGAAGUGAUCCUAGAACAACCUACGUCAACCAUAACUCCAACACCGUGUUCACUUCCCGGACUCCGCUGGAAAGAGACCAUCACGGUUACACACGCGGUUGAUGCAUUUUAAUUAAGGUCAACUUCAGGUUUUCUACAACCGGAUGUUAACAAAUUCCCAUCUGUCCAUAACCGCAGGCACGGUUUUCGAAAGUUCAAAUCCCUGCAGCGGUGUCCCAACUUAGCCCAUGACAAGCUCUCAUGGUCAACGAAGGAUAUUCCUUCUAGCGGGAAGACCCGAUCAGACUCGGAAUCCCGGUUACAAGACAUUUCGACAAUGGUAAAACAAGACCAGCAAAGCGACCCAGAUGUGCCGACAAAUCCCGAUAGGAGCUGCACAUAUCUCGUUCUCAGGGCACACCGAAUGAGCCAGACGUCGGGUGGGCCAGCCCAGAGUUGCCCCUGGUGGCUUCGGACAUCGCUCGGUUGGACCAACACUUAGACAAGCACUGGCCGGGGGGGGGGUUAAAAAUAAAGAUGACCCUUGGGCUGGCCUAACCCAAGGGAAAAAGAGGCUAGGUGGCAAAUGGUAAAACCAAUGUUGGGCCUUGCUGGAGGAGUUUUAUUCAAGGCGAACUGUCAAGGGGUUCCCAUUAUUACCCAACCGCGUAAGGAACGCAAAAUCCAGGAACAUAACACCGAUAUGACGGAAACUAGGGCGGCAAGAGUGGAACAAAACACCAGGCAUAAGGCCGAGCCUUCCACCCUUUACCAAGUAUAUAGAUGCAUUAAUUAAAUAAGAGAUAAGGUGAUAUCCCAACAAGUAAACAUGUUCCAACACGGAACAACAUCUCCAUGUUCCAACAAGGAACAAACUUUAAUCUUCACCUGCAACUAACAACGCUAUAAGAGGGGCUGAGCGAAACUGUAACAUAGCCAAUCAACGGUUUGCUAGGACAAGGUGGGUUAGAGGCUUGGUUUAACAAUAUGGGAGGCAUGAUAAGCAAGUGGUAGGUAUCACAACAUAGGCAUAGCAAAAGAGCGAGCAUCUAGCAAGCAAAGAUAGAAGUGAUUUCGAGGGUAUGGUCAUCUUGCCUGAGAUCCCGCAAGGAAGAAGAACAAGUCCAAGAAGAAGACGAAUGGAUCCUCACAACGCGACGUUACCGGAACCAACCUGAAGAAUCAAACACCGGAAAGAAGCACACAACUUAGUAAACAACCAACACAUGAACAUGGUAUGAUAUGCGGGAUGCGGUAUGCGAUGCAUAUGCAUGAUUUGACAAGGAAUGAAUGAACCUGGCCACAACUUGGAAAUCCAAGGGUGCCACUGGAAAGGUGAGAUGAAAUCGCUUGAAAAUGAUAUAAAGAUCACCGAAAUCGGAGUUACGGUUUGGAAAUGGCAAGCAAUACAAAUAUGACCACGGUCUGUGAUUUACAGCAAGUAGCCAUCUAAAUGCAACAAGAAGAACAUGCUACAGCACUCAAACAUGGCAACAAAAUACAUGGCAGUGAUCCAUUCAUGAUGCUUAACAGAAUAUGAACACUGAGCUACGCCCAAUUCAUCCAUUAACAGGUUCAAACAAGCAUGGAAAAAGAGCAAAUGGUAAACAGAUUUCAGACUUAGUGAAAUUAACACAAGCCUGGAAUUUCAGAUCACGUAGCACACUUUGAAGCAAGAAAACUAUAAGCUACAGGAACUGAACAUGGCAAAGUAAAGCAUGGAAUGGAGCUAAUCAAAAAGCUUAACAAAAGUCCCUUAGUGACCUUGAGCCAAAAGGGAUCAGAUAAUACAAUUGCAAGCAUGUGAACAUGGCAAAAACAUAAUCAGAUCUCAGACUUAGUGAAAAACUGGAGGAUGCAAAUCAGAUAUCAAGUAGGCAUGUUUACGAGCUCGAUGCACUCACUACAGAGCAAGACAUGACAAUCUAAGCAUACACCCAUCAAGAAUACACAAAAUACAAGCUAGACAUUGCAAGAACAAUCACAUAGCAUGCACGGAUCAACUACAACAUCCUCGGCAAAAUUGCUAACAAGUAGACAAUCUGCCCAGAUUCACGAAAUAGCAAAAGUAGAGCUCGAUUGACUCAAGCUAGGGUGCUCCAUAAUUGCAAACAACUACAUGGAUGGACAGAGCACUACAAGAUUAACAAAACAUCCUUACUGAUCAUCCUCAAAAGAGGCACAGAUCACUAGGAAACAACAUGAACAUAUGGCAUAUUGAGAUAAACAGAUCAAGGACUUAGUGGAAUUGCUAAGUCCCUGAAAUCAACAUUAACGAAUGCACCACUUUGCAAGCUUGUGCUAGUCACCACACACAUCACAAAAAUACAUGGGUUGCACCUCUGGAAAGAUGGCAAAGCAUAUAACAAAACUCAUGUAGAGCUCAGGGGCAUAUCAUGCACACAACAAUCAUGGCAAAAAUGACAAAUAUCUAAAUGGAGCAACAGAUCUGACAAUUAUCUCAAACAACACUCUUCCAGCAGCAUUUCGGGCAUCAAGAUGAACUCAAAUGAAAAUGAUGCAAUGAGAUGAAAUGAUGUGCUCUCUGAGUCGAACAUUUCGAUAUGCUACACACAUGAAUUGGAGCUACGGAUGCGGAGUUACGACAUGAUGAACAAGGGCAUAUGAAUCUGGGAUGCGAAAAGUCAACGCGGGAUGAGGUGGUGCGGGAUGACGAGAUCUGGGACGCGGGGCGGCGCUGUUUGGUUCAGGGGAGUUGUGGAUCUCAUCCCACUCCCCGGAUCCGGCCGGACUUUGAACUCCGGCGAGGCGAGGGCGAGAAAGGACGGCGGCGGGGCGGCGCUUGCGCCGGCGAUGCGGUGGCGGGAGACGGUGGCGGUCGACGCCGGCGAAUGGAGGCAGUGGCCGGGCGGCGUGCCGCGGCGGACGACGUCGNNNNNNNNNNNNNNNNNNNNNNNNNNNNNNNNNNNNNNNNNNNNNNNNNNNNNNNNNNNNNNNNNNNNNNNNNNNNNNNNNNNNNNNNNNNNNNNNNNNNNNNNNNNNNNNNNNNNNNNNNNNNNNNNNNNNNNNNNNNNNNNNNNNNNNNNNNNNNNNNNNNNNNNNNNNNNNNNNNNNNNNNNNNNNNNNNNNNNNNNNNNNNNNNNNNNNNNNNNNNNNNNNNNNNNNNNNNNNNNNNNNNNNNNNNNNNNNNNNNNNNNNNNNNNNNNNNNNNNNNNNNNNNNNNNNGGCGACGGGGCGCGAAGAAGACGACGGGUGGAUGGCGUGGCUCGGUUGGGAGGGCGGCGCAGCGGAUCCGGGCCGGGCGAUCCGGAUCGGGGCGUCUCGGGCCCGGGGGCGCGGGGACGGCGGCGGCGACAGGUGGCGGUCCCUGAGUGGCUGAGGCGGCGGGGAAGCUGACGUGGCGACGCCUGAUUCGCCAGAGCGAGGUGGCGGAGGCGGCGGACAUGUCCGGGCGGCGCGGGACGAAAUGUCCGGCGGCGCGCGGAGGAGUAGGUUAGGGUUCAUCUGCGCGAAAAUUCCGGGAGGGGACACAUAUUUAUAGGUAGAGGGAGCUAGGAGAGUCCAAAUUAGGUGCGGUUUUCGGCCAUGCGAUCGUGAUCGAACGACCGAGAUGAUGGAUGAGGUUUAGGUGGGUUUUGGCAAAAUUGGAGGGGUGUUGGGCUGCAACACACACGAGGCCUUCUCGGUCCCUCAGUUAACCGUUGGAGCAUCAAACGAAGUCCAAAUGGUACGAAACUUGACAUGCGGUCUACCGGUAGUAAACCAAGGCCGCUUGGCAAGUCUCAGUCCAAUCCGGAAAUGUUUAAUCCCCACACACGAGAAUAAGGUAGAAAUGACCACCGGAGGAGAACGGAGCGCCGGAUUGCAAAACGGACAACGGGAAAAGUGCUCGGAUGCAUGAGACGAACAUGUAUGCAAAUGAAAUGCACAUGAUGACAUGAUAUGCAAUGCAUGACAUGCAAGCAAUGGCAAAGCAACAACAGCGAAUAACUAGACGACACCUGGCACAUCGGUCACGGGGCGUUACAACACUCCACCACUAUGAGAGGAUCUCGUCCCGAGAUCUAGAAUGGCACCGAAGGGAAAACGGAAGAGAAAGAGAAGAGGUAAAACUAAGUUGCUUCUUUGACGAACGAGUGAAACCACGAACCUUGAAAAGGUUAAGCCAUUUUGAGAAAAGAAUACAACGGAGAUAAAUGAAGUUGAAAGCACUCCAUUAAGAAAGGGGAAAAGGAAAGAACCGAUUCGGGUAGCACUCCGGUUUAGAAGGGAUGCAAGGCUUGAUAAGGUGAAAGGAACUUGAGCAAAAACGUCACAACACUCCGGUUAAAAGGAUAAGCAUGAAAGGAAUAAGGUCCUGACAAAAAUAAGAAGAAGGGUUGAAGAGAGCAACAUCACAAUGCCUCCGGAAGAAAAGAGAGAAUGGAAUGGAUGGAACGGAGGAGAGAACAAUAUUUUCUAUCUCGAAUGAGCUUGAAAAAAGGCAUCCUUAGGAGAAUGAUCGAACGGAGAUGUUGGAAAUCCAACAACGAAAAAGAGUAAGCUUCUAGUGGACUUAUGGAGAACAUCUCAAAACUAUGAGGUGAAAAUUCUACCACUAACGGAAAACAAUGGAUUUGAAUUGAUAUCAACAAGGAAACGAGAAACUUAUACCACCGAGAGGAUAAAAGAACUUGGGUCAAUAAUAAGCACCAUAGGUAUCAACAAUCCUUAGGGAACGCUCUAGGUGAAAUAUAACCCAAGAUAAUUCCAAUGAAGAGGUUGAUGGAUUUAAAUACCUCAUUCUUAACAACAUGUGAAUCAUGAGACAUGAACUCAAAUUAUCAAGAAUGACGUAAUACCACCUCGAAUGAUACGGUUGAAAGAAUUGCACUUUAAAAUGCAAGAUAAAGAAUACUUGAGCUCCUCUGAAAAGAAUAUCGAUGAAAACUUCGAGAAGGAAUUAAAUCCUUGAUGAACCAUCAUGUAGAACCUCCAUGAGAAGUCCGGAAAUAAAAGAAAUGAUCAAUCAAAAUGGAGGAUGAAAAGAAUAAGGUUGAAGCCUUGCAAUGAUUAGAUGGAUCUUCAUGAUGAUGAAAGCUUGGAACUCUGGGAAAAGAAAAGAUGAAACAAAUGAAAAUGAGAAUAAGAUAUGAUGAACCACUCCGGAAAAAGGAAUUAAUCACUUGGAUGGAACAAGAAUAAGAAUUAUGUUAUGCGUAUCCUUCAACAAUUUAAUUGCUGACAAGCAACGGAUUUGCCAUAUUACUUAUUCUCGUAGAAAAAAAUUAAGAGAGAUAUAACAUAAACUAGAGAAAAUCUUCAACACACCACUGGUAGAAUUGAAAUAACGAAUAAAUUGAUGAGGAAGAGAAGUCUUGAACGAACCAUCGUAAGAAUCAAAAUGAACGAAGAAAAGAUAAAGAAACACCGGGAAGAAUUAGAAAACGAAUGAAGAUACUUGAAGGAAUUUAGAUACAUGAGACGACGAGAUCACGAGCUGAUUAGAGAUCACUUGAACGAUGCACCGGUAAGAUUUGGAGUAUGAGAACUGAAAGCUGGAAUGAAUAAUUCUGAUAUGAUGGCCUCCAGAGAAUCAAACUGAAAAGACUCCUGAAUUGCUCCGGAUAGGUGAAAAGAAAUCUCACAUUUGAAAACAAUUAUGAGAGGAUGGUCUCGAACUAGAACCGCGAAUCCCUGAGAGAACGGAUAAGAUAUAGAGGUAAGGCUCUUCUUUGGUCUUCAAAUGAUGAGAAAGACGAUGAGAAACACCACCGUGAAUUGUUGAGACACUCCAGAAUAGAGAAGAAUAGAAAAGUUGAACCAAUGAUGAAAAGAAUUUGGAAGAUCUUGGAGAAAGACAUUUGACUGAUGAUAAAUCAUUCUUACGUCAAACUUCGAAAAGAAAUUUGAGGAUAGCUCUGGGAAAAAAAAGAAGAGUCAGGUAAGAUCCUGGGAGAAGACCUGUGGGUUAGGGCCCACUCAAAAGAAACACCGUUGAAAUGAUUUAAAAGAGAGGUUGCACUGAUUGAAUUAAAUGGCUUGAAUGAGAUAACAACCUCGAAAUAGGUUGGACGGAUCUUGAAUGACAAGACGAGCCUUUUGAGAAAGCUUGAGCACGCCGGAACAAAUGAAUAGCGAGAAAUGACUGAAUAUGAGGUGCACCGGCAUGAGAAGGUAUUUGCAACAAGGAAAGAAUAUAAUUGGCAAAGCUUGAAUUGAAUUCAUCGGAUAAAAGAGAACGAAGAAUGAUGAACUAGAAGCUCUGUUAGAAUCUUCAUGACAAUCACCGGAUACGAACAUUGACUGAAAAGAACGAAGGGACUUCACAUGAAUAAAAUGGAUAUUUGAUUAAGAAUUCCAAGUCCUCGAAGAAAACAAGGGAGGGAGGGCGGGAAAACAAAGGCAACUUGGGAUGGAUGAAACGAACACCAUUGAGAAAGCUGAGAUUGAAUCUUGCGGAUAUUGAAAAGAUCGGAUCCACUUGAAGAGAAAAAACACGCCAGGUGAAAAGUUUUGACAAGACAAUCUUGAUGAUCAAGAAGGAUUGGUAUCCACAUCGGAGUAUGAGAACACCGCUUAGGAAAGAUAUGGAAUCAACAUUUGACUUCGAAGCAACUCGAAUACCACAACUCAAAACAAAACAAAGGAUUGGCUUGCGGAGUAAGCCGGAACAAGCAUAUGAUAGAGAUUUCGUACAUCACCAUCAUGUACAAGGCUAUGCACAUGACAUAUGAAGCGUCCCCGAGUCGGCAUAGACAAGGACUCUUUAAGACACAACGAGACCACUGUAAAACCAACCGUGAAUAGGUGGACCACUAGACGUCGAACCCCAAUUUCAUAUCAUACAUCUGUCGGGAAGAUAUCCUAAGAGCUACUUGAAUUCCCACCUAUGAAACUCCCGAACCUUUCUGGUUAUGCAAUCAGGUGUUGGGGAUACAGGGGAAGCAUAAUAUCUCACCCAAAUCUAGCAAUUCCUACAUCCAGUUGUAUCCAUCCUUCAACACAUAACCGAGAAAAACUUCGGAAACCAUCUACCUCAACCUUCGAAAAGCAUCCGUUAUACCAGCUAUGGCAAUACUCCCGAACUCCCACCCCAGUACUGGGUGGCGUCGAGGUUAUCUCACCAACGAACUACAUAAAAGAGAUUUUCGAUGUCGGCGUACUAAACUUAGGUAUUCCAGAAUAGUAACAAUAAAAUUGUGACGACAACACCUCGGAGCUCAACUCCCCGGGACACUGCCACAACCCCUAAAUGACAGGAGGCACCAAGAACAAUGUUCUCGUCACAAAACCAUCGGAACGAUUCCAAGAUACCUGCGUGAUCCUAAAUUUUUUUUAGUAAAAUUUAAGAAGAGAAGAGUCAAAACUCUACGUCAGGAUGCCUCACCAGAGCGACGAAGGGACUGGGGAGUAAAAAGAAUUCCUAAACUCUCUGAUAUAUAAUUCCUAAAUGACUCAAAACAUUUUUCUAGACUCAACUCGUCCGCUAAUUCGAUCAAUCAGUGGGGGCUCCUAAGGUCGGGGAUGGCUCUGAUACCAACUUGUAACGCCCUCAAUGCGGCUAUAUCUCCCACGUGUCGAAGCACGACUUAGAGGCAUAACCGCAUUGAAAGCAAUGUCGCAAGUGAGGUAAUCUUUGCAAACAACCCAUGUAAUACAAUAAGGGAAAAGAGAUACAUAGUUGGCUUACAAUCGCCACUUCACACAAUACAUGAAGAAAGCAUUACAUCAACCAAAUACAAUCAAGGUCCGACUACGGAACCAAAAUAAAAGAAGAACCCCAAAUGCGACAAGGUCCCCGAUCGACCCCAACUGGGCUCCACUACUGAUCCACUGGAAACGAAACAACACGAAGGACAAGAUCUUCAUCGAGCUCCUCCUUGAGCUUGGUUGCGUCGUCUGCACGGACUCAUCGGCGCCUGCAAGCUGGUUUUGGAAGUAUCUGUGAGCCACGGGGACUCAGCAAUCUCGCACCCUCACAAUCAAGACUAUUUAAGCUUAUGGGAAAGGUAAAGGUAUGAAGGUGGAGCUGCAGCAAGCGACUAGCAUAUAUGGUGGCUAAACAUACGCAAAUGAGAGCGAGAAGAGAAGGCAAAGCACGAUCGAUAAACUAUGAUCAAGAAUUGAUCCUAGAACAACCUACGUCAAUCAUAACUCCAACACCGUGUUCACUUCCCGGACUCCGCCGGAAAGAGACCAUCACGGUUACACACGUGGUUGAUGCAUUUUAAUUAAGGUCAACUUCAGGUUUUCUACAAUUGGACGUUAACAAAUUCCCAUCUGCCCAUAACCGCGGGCACGGUUUUCGAAAGUUCAAAUCCCUGCAGGGGUGUCCCAACUUAGCCCAUGACAAGCUCUCACGGUCAACGAAGGAUAUUCCUUCCAGCGGGAAGACCCGAUCAGACUCAGAAUCCCGGUUACAAGACAUUUCGAUAAUGGUAAAACAAGAGCAGCAAAGCCACCCAGAUGUGCCGACAAAUCCCGAUAGGAGCUGCACAUAUCUCGUUCUCAGGGCACACCGGAUGAGCCAGACGUUGGGUGGGCCAGCCCAGAGUUGCCCCUGGUAGCUCCGAACAUCGCUCGGUUGGACCAACACUUAGACAAGCACUGGCCCGGGGGGGGGGGGCGGUUAAAAAUAAAGAUGACCCUUGGGCUGGCCUAACCCAAGGGAAAAAGAGGCUAGGUGGCAAAUGGUAAAACCAAUGUUUGGCCUUGCUGGAGGAGUUUUAUUCAAGGCAAACUAUCAAGGGGUUCCCAUUAUUACCCAACCGCGUAAGGAACGCAAAAUCCGGGAACAUAACACCGAUAUGACGGAAACUAGGGCGGCAAGAGUGGAACAAAACACCAGGCAUAAGGCCGAGCCUUCCACCCUUUACCAAGUAUAUAUAUGCAUUAAUUAAAUAAUAGAUAAGGUGAUAUCCCAACAAGUAAACAUGUUCCAACAUGGAACAACAUCUCCAUGUUCCAACAAGGAACAAACUUCAAUCUUCACCUGCAACUAACAACGCUAUAAGAGGGGCUGAGCGAAGCGGUAACAGAGCCAAUCAACGGUUUGCUAGGACAAAGUGGGUUAGAGGCUUGGUUUAACAAUAUGGGAGGCAUGAUAAGCAAGUGGUAGGUAUCACAGCAUAGGCAUAGCAAAAGAGCGAGCAUCUAGCGAGCAAAGAUAGAAGUGAUUUCGAGGGUAUGGUCAUCUUGCCUGAGAUCCCGCAAGGAAGAAGAACGAGUCCAAGAAGAAGACGAACGGACGUAGUCGAACGGAUCCUCACAACGCGACGUUACCGGAACCAACCCAAAGAAGCAAACACCGGAAAGAAGCACACAACAUAGUAAACAACCAACACAUGAACAUGGUAUGAUAUGCGGGAUGCGGUAUGCGAUGCAUAUGCAUGAUUUGACAAGGAAUGAAUGAACCUGGCCUCAACUUGGAAAUCCAAGUGUGCCACUGGAAAGGUGAGAUGAAAUCGCUUGAAAACGAUAUAAAGAUCACCGAAAUCGGAGUUACAGUUUGGAAAUGGCAAGCAAUACAAAUAUGACCACGAUCUGCGAUUUACAGCAAGUAGCCAUCUAAAUGCAACAAGAAGAACAUGCUACAACACUCAAACAUGGCAACAAAAUACAUGGCAGGGAUCCAUUCAUGAUUCUUAACAAAAGAUGAACACUGAGCUACGGCCAAUUCAUCCAUUAACAGGUUCAAACAAGCAUGGCAAAAGAGCAAACGGUAAACAGAUUUCAGACUUAGUGAAAUUAACAAAAGCCUGGAAUUUCAGAUCAGGUAGCACACUUUGAAGCAAGAAAACUAUAAGCUAUAGGAACUGAACAUGGCAAAAUAAAGCAUGGAAUGGAGCUAAUCAAAGAGCUUAACAAAAGUCCCUUAGUGACCUUGAGGCAAAAGGGAUCAGAUAAUACAAUUGCAAGCAUGUGAACAUGGCAAAAACAUAAUCAGAUCUCAGACUUAGUGAAAAACUGGAGCAUGCAAAUCAGAUAUCAAGUAGGCAUAUUUACGAGGUCGAUGCACUCACUACAGAGCAAGACAUGACAAUCUAAGCAUACACCCAUCAAGAAUACACAAAAUACAAGCUAUACAUUGCAAGAACAAUCACAUAGCAUGCACGGAUCAACUACAACAUCCUCGGCAAAAUUGCUAACAAGUAGACAAUCUUCCCAGAUUCACGAAAUAGCAAAAGUAGAGCUCGAUUGACUCAAGCUAGGGUGCUCCAUAAUUGCAAACAACUACAUGGAUGUAUAGAGCACUACAAGAUUAACAAAACAUCCUUACUGAUCAUCCUCAAACGAGGCACGGAUCACUAGGAAACAACAUGAACAUAUGGCAUAUUGAGAUAAACAGAUCAAGGACUUAGUGGAAUUGCUAAGUCCCUGAAAUCAGCGUUAACGAAUGCACCACUUUGCAGGCUUGUGCUAGUCACCACACACAUCACAAAAAUACAUGGGUUGCACCUCUAGAAAGAUGGCAAAGCAUAUAACAAAACUCAUGUAGAGCUCAGGGGCAUAUCAUGCACACAACAAUCAUGGCAAAAAUGACAAAUAUCUAAAUGGAGCAGCAGAUCUGACAAUUAUCUCAAAUAGCACUCUUCCAACAGCAUUUCGGGUAUCAGGAUGAACUCAAAUGAAAAUGAUGCAAUGAGAUGAAAUGAUGUGCUCUUUGAGAUGAACAUUUUAAUAUUCUACACGCAUGAAUCGGAGCUACGGAUGUGGAGUUACGACAUGAUGAACAAGGGCAUAUGAAUCUGGGAAUUUCGGGGACUUAGUGAAAUACUACCUCCGCGAAAAGUCAACGCGGGAUGAGGUGGUGCGGGGUGACGAGAUCCGGGAUGCGGGGCGGCGCUGUUUGGUUCAGGGGAGUGGUGGAUCUCAUCCCACUCCCCGGAUCCGGCCGGACUUCGAACUCCAGCGAGGCGAGGGCGAGAAAGGACGGCGGCGGGGCGGCGCUUGCGCCGGCAAUGCGGUGGUGGGAGACGGCGGCGGUCGACGCCGGCGAACGAAGGCGGUGGCCGGGCGGCGUGUCGAGGCGGACGAAGUCGGCCNNNNNNNNNNNNNNNNNNNNNNNNNNNNNNNNNNNNNNNNNNNNNNNNNNNNNNNNNNNNNNNNNNNNNNNNNNNNNNNNNNNNNNNNNNNNNNNNNNNNNNNNNNNNNNNNNNNNNNNNNNNNNNNNNNNNNNNNNNNNNNNNNNNNNNNNNNNNNNNNNNNNNNNNNNNNNNNNNNNNNNNNNNNNNNNNNNNNNNNNNNNNNNNNNNNNNNNNNNNNNNNNNNNNNNNNNNNNNNNNNNNNNNNNNNNNNNNNNNCACGGAGCAACUCCGGCGACCGGGCACGAAGAAGACAACGGGCGGACCGCGCGGCUCGGUCGGGAGGGCGGCGCGGCGGAUCCAGGCCGGGCGGGCCGGAUUUGGGCGUCUCGGGCCCGGGGGCGCGGGGACGGCGGUGGCGACAGGUGGCGGUCCCUGAGUGGCUGAGGCGGCGGGGAAGCUGACAUGGCGACGCCUGAUUCGCCGGAGCGAGGUGGCGGAGGCGGCGGACAUGUCCGGGCGGCGCGCGGAGGAGGAGGUUAGGGUUCAUCUGCGCGAAAAUUCCUGGAGGGAACACAUAUUUAUAGGUAGAGGGAGCUAGGAGAGUCCAAAUGUGGUGCGGUUUUCGGCCACGCGAUCGUGAUCGAACGACCGAGAUGAUGGAUGAGGUUUAGGUGGGUUUUGGCCAAAUUGGAGGGGUGUUGGGCUGCAACACACACGAGGCCUUCUCGGUCCCUCGGUUAACCGUUGGAGCAUCAAACGAAGUCCAAAUGGUACGAAACUUGACAGGCGGUCUACCAGUAGUAAACCAAGGCCGCUUGGCAAGUCUCGGUCCAAUCCGGAAAUGUUUAAUCCCCACACAUGAGAAGAAGGUAGAAAUGACCACCGGAGGAGAACGGAGCGCCGGAUUGCAAAACGGACAACGGGAAAAGUGCUCAGAUGCAUGAGACAAACAUGUAUGCAAAUGAAAUGCACAUGAUGACAUGAUAUGCAAUGCAUGACACGCAAGCAAUGGCAAAGCAACAACAGCGAAUAACUGGACGACACCUGGCACAUCGGUCACGGGGCGUUACAUAAUUAUAGCUAGCUAACACAAUAUAUGAAACACCUAAAUUAACCCCCCAAAACCCCCAAACCCCCCCCCUUUCAAAAAAAAACAAAAACCCCAGCCACAGAAAUGCUGACGCGUGAAUGCCUAUUGGUCCCGGUUGGUGCCACCAACCGGGACCAAAGGGUCUCCUGCCUGGGCUCCGCGCACAGGCCACGUGGAGGCCCAUCUGUCCCGGUUCUGGAUUGAACCGGGACUAAAGGGACAGGGCAUUAGUACCGACCCUUUAGUCCCGGUUCCAGAACCGGGACAAAAGGCCCUUACGAACCGGGACAACAUGCCCUUUUUCUACCAGUGCAUAUAUGAUGUAAAAACUAAGCAAUGCAAGACAACAUGCAUGACAUGGGUAAUAUAACCCUGCCAAGUUUGAGCAUAGACCUCAGGGGGAAAAUAGGACUGGUCAUCAGUCUCUGAAUCCUCCUAUGAGGAGCUCUCUGUAACCAGCAAGAUGUCUGCUUCAGCAGGUAGCAUUGUCUGCUCUGAAUACCUUAUUUUCACUCCAGAUACUUCCAUCACCGCUUCAAAUGGCUGAUGCACAGGAAGAGUAGUUGAAUAUACAAACGUUGUCGACAAAUGGAACAUGUAAUACAAAAAAUGAUAGCAUGAUAUAAUUCACAUACAUGAUGAUUGGCUAAACAACAUGGCAUUGCAUAAUUCACAUAUAUAAUGCCUUUGCAACAAGAUAUCAUUGUAUAAUUCACAUAUAUAAUGUCUUGCAACAAGAUGGCAAUGCAUAAUUCACAUAUAUGGUAAUUAGACACUGAAUAGGUGGCAUUCACACAAAGCAUGUCUAAACUAAUCAAAUGACAUAGCAAUGCGAGGCACCAUACACACGAUAUGAGCAACAUAACCCUGCUAAGUUAGAGCAUACACCUCAGGGGGGGGGGAAUAGGACUGGUCAUCUGUCUCUGAAUCCUCCUCUGAGGAGCUAUCCGUAACUAGCGAGAUAUGCGCUUCGUCAGAUAGCAUAGUCUGCUCUGAAGACCUUGUUUUCACUCCAGAAUUUGCCAUCACCGUGUCAAAUGGCUGAUGCACACGAAGAGCAGUUGAAUGUAAUAAUAUUUUUGACAAAUGUAAUAUGUAACCAAAAAAAGGAUGGCCUGAUAUAAUUUACAUAUAAGAUGACUGGCUAAGCAGGAUGGCAUUGCAAAAUUCACAUAUAUGAUGCCUGGCUAAACAAGAUGGUGUUGCAUAAUUUACAUAAACGACGAAUAAACUAAACAGAUGGCAUUCGCACAAAGGAUGUCUAAACUAAGCAGAUGACAUAUUUGAUGUAUAAAGUAAGCAAUGCAAGACACCAUAUGCAUGAUAUAACCAACAUCAGCAUGCCAAGUUAGAGCGAAGACCUCAAGGGGUAAAUAGGAGUUGUCUUCUCCUUCUGAAUCCCCCUCAGAACAGAUAUCUUCCUCUCGAUUACAAUCCGAAAUGCAUGGAGGGGGGCUACCUUUGCGCCUACCAUGGAGCGACGUCUGCAUGAAAUUUUAUUGCCAUGCAAGGCUCGUCUCUUUUGCUCUACAUGUUCAGUUCCAUUGUUUACAAUAACUGUCAUGCAUAGGAAUAAAACAUAGUGACAUUAUGUAAGGAGUGCAUGCAGAAAUCCAGAGUGAUGGUAGCAACCUGUGGAUAUACCCAAAACCAAUAAUAGCAGGCAGAUAAUGGCUUCAGUUAAAAAAUACAGAUAAUGGCUUCUUUACUGUUUGUUUCCCACCCAACAUGAAACUCAUAGUAGACACCGGAGAUUAACCAGAUAGUAGAUAGAUAAUAUUGAUAGCGGCCCCGAUAUGUACCCCACAACCAUUUAAAAACUCAAGUUUGACCAUUAGUUUGGAGCUGACUUAGAGUCUAAUCAGUGAACAGGACGAUAAAGUAGCAUGUAAUAUUAAGCGAUGCAUAACGUAAGCAUACACGAAAGAGUGAGACCUCUCUUGCGGACCCGUGUAGUCCUCGAGGUCAUCUGCUCGGUUGAUGAUGGUAGUGCGGUUUUCAUGGCUGCCAGUGGCGGGGAAGAAGAUCUGAGGCGGCGAAAGAUAGUCUGGAGGCUGGAUCCCUGCUGUGCUGGACCCUUCUAUCGUUGGAGCAGCUGAGCUGGGGUGGACGACAGCGCAGCAGGAGCGGGACAAACCACACAAGGUUUUCUUUGACAACUAUCUGUAAGAGAAGUAAUUCUGUAAGGGCUCAUUAGAAUUGGAGGAUUCCAACAAUGCAGGGAUAGGAAAUAGACAGGAAUAGGAUAGGAAUGCACGUGUAAAACAGAGAAUUUAAAGACACGGGAUUUCUGCCAAUCUGGUGUUUGAUUCACAACAAUUGGAAGAUCACAGGAUGCAAAGAAGCAUGGUGACAUUAAGUCAAACCACAAGAAAAUGUACGGUUAUAAUGCUAUUAUGCUACUAUCUCUUAGUCUUGUGCUUCAUGAAUAGGAAUUUGAAAAGGAGGACAAGUGAAAAUUAAAAUUCCUACGUUUUUUCUUUCAAGGAGACACUAAAGGAACAAAUCCGUGUGCUCAAUGGACAAUAUAUAUAACAUGUAGAGUAAAAAAGAGAUGCAACAAGUGUACAACCUCUUUGGCGAAGCCAUGUCGAUCUCAGCAUGAUUGGGUUGGCCGGUGAGAAUGCUCCGGCUGACUUGGCUGUCGGAGGAGGGGAAGAAGAUCUUAGGCGUCUGGAGAUGGAGCCCGAGGUACUGCUCCGCUGUGAUGGAGGGUUUCGUUGUUGGAGCAGCUCCAGUGAGUUGUACGACGCCGAGGCUGAAGCAGGACAAGAGAGACAACGAACAACGUUAACCUGAGUGGAAUUCUAAUAGCAUCUCCAAUACAUGACGUAAAAUACAUAACCACAAAGUGCUAGAUGUAAAAUACAUCAGCCGCCCAUCUCUGAACUUAACUGUCGAAACUGAAUUUAACUGUCGAAACUGAACUUAACUGUCGAAACUGAAUUUUGCUGUCGGAACUGAAUUUUGCUGUCGAAACUGAACGCACUAGCAAGGUGAGGCUACACGUCGGUCGACUGACUUUUUCAUCUUUGGUAAGUCGAUUUUGCAGCCGUUGGAUACAAAAUCUAGGGCCUGCGGUUCGUCUUCAACCUCCACCCCCUGGGCCGGCUAAACAGCAGCCCCCGCCGCCCGCGGCCGGCGGUGCGCCGCCCCGCCCUCCCCGAAAACACUCCCCACCGCCGGUNNNNNNNNNNNNNNNNNNNNNNNNNNNNNNNNNNNNNNNNNNNNNNNNNNNNNNNNNNNNNNNNNNNNNNNNNNNNNNNNNNNNNNNNNNNNNNNNNNNNNNNNNNNNNNNNNNNNNNNNNNNNNNNNNNNNNNNNNNNNNNNNNNNNNNNNNNNNNNNNNNNNNNNNNNNNNNNNNNNNNNNNNNNNNNNNNNNNNNNNNNNNNNNNNNNNNNNNNNNNNNNNNNNNNNNNNNNNNNNNNNNNNNNNNNNNNNNNNNNNNNNNNNNNNNNNNNNNNNNNNNNNNNNNNNNNNNNNNNNNNNNNNNNNNNNGAUUCAGUCGACUAAAGUGUAGCUAAAUCGGAGCAGCAUCGCAAGCAAGAUCAAGAGCAAGAGCAGCAGCACGGGCAAGAGCAAUAGCAAGAGCAGACCAGGCAGGGGACCGAGAGCAAGAGUAGAGCAGCAACGCGAGCGAGAGCUAAAGCAGUAGCAGGUCCUACUAAUGUGGACGUCGCCGCCGAGGGAGCGACGCCGUGGAGGAAGUGUCCGGCGACGCCACCGUGGAUGGAGCCGUGCCGUGUCGGCUCGGGACCGAGCGCCGGCAGCACCGUGAGAUCGAAUCAAGAAGAAAAUGCGGCGAUUAGUGUACAACCUCUUUGGUGGCGCCGAUUAGGCCGCAGCUUCAUCCGAGGAAAUGGUGAUGAUGAUGCUCUUCCGGUGGUGCAGGUGAAGACGGCGGUGUGGGAAUGGAGGUGGCGCGAAAGACGAGGGGAACGUCGGGGCAGCUCCUUGGAGGUGGAGGACGGGGUGGCUGAACCGGCGGGACGAUGAGAUCGACGAUAGAUCCUCAUCCGAUACGGUGGAUGAGGGACGUCGAGGUGUUGCUGUGGACGACGUCGUCGGGGAAGAGGCUCCGGCUGGGUGGCGGGCGGAGCAGGGUGUGGGGUUUCGUCGCGGGUUUUCGCGGCCUCGGUGUACGAAUGGGUGGGCGGAUGGGAUGGCAGUGGGGAACCAUGGCUUAGAGACGCGCUUGUCCGAAAUGUGGGGUAAGUUACGAAAGUACCCCCACCGAUUUGAGGCGGUUCUUUUGGUUCAGGGGUACCACGGGCAUUUCGCGUUUCGGGAUUUCAUAGGAGGUGGGAGUUUUCGCGCGUGUUGUAAUUUCGGAAUAGCAAGGCGUGGGUUGAGAUGGAGGGAGUUGUCGGAGCACAACGAGACAAAGAUAAAUCUUAAAUAUUUCGGGCUAACAAGGCGCGGGUUGAAAUUUCCGGACAAGCCUAACAUGUACUGUCCCAAAUCAAUGCGCCCUACAAAUGUCAUUCAAAACUUUGAAUUCAUGUUAUGUUCAAUUAAAAUAUUUUGCUACGUGUAUAAUGCAUGCAACCUACUACUCAAAUGAACGUUUUAGUGCAUUCCAAACGUAUAUACUACCGCUUCAAUAUGAACUAAAUUUGAAUUCGUUUCUCUAGUUGAAUAAGAUCUACAGUAAUGAUUGUUGCGAAGUCAAAGCAUUUGAAUUCGUUUCUCUGUUUUAAUAAGAUCUACAAUCAUCAUUAUUGUCAAGUUAAACCAUCGUUUGUGUAUUAUCUUCACAGCACACCACAUGAUUAGUCUCGAGUUACAUAUGAACUAUGUGUACUCCUAUAUGAACUCCAACUAGAUUUUUUGAAUCCACUUUAUUUUGAUUUCAAAUCACAUUACAUUUCUAGCUCUAGCUAGAUCUUCAUAAUCUAAACCAUGUCUCAUAUGUAUAAUGUGUUUAUCACAUUAUGUAUGGUGCCCCGCCCCCUACGCCUACAAGUAUUUAGAUGUGAGUUGCAAACACCACACAUUACCAAAAAUUCAAAUAAAAUGUGAGAAUGUUCGAUAUAUAGUAUUGUUUAGAUUGUUCGAUAUUUAGUUGUAAGCUGCGAACGCCACACAUUAUCACAAAUUCAAAUAAAAUGUGAGAUUGUUUGAUGUAUAGUAUGGUUUAGAUUGUUCGGCAUUUAGCUGUGAGUUGCAAACGCCAUGCAUUAUCACAUUAUGGUAUAACAUGUGCACAUCACGUGUAUCACCACUAUAUUCAUGCAUGCAAUGUUUAAAACACUAUGAUCUCCUAUUCAAAUAUAUGAAUCCGCUUUCAUAUCAAAUUAUGAUCUUUGUUAGUCUCUUACACCCACACAAUCCUCUAACCUUUGUAGCUACCACUAACUUUCUCUCGUGCAUGCACAUGCCCUCCUCGCCCUCCCCCUCCCCCGGCAUUCUAUCCAUCUGGCACAUUCAUUUUUCUCUUUAGGUCGUUCUCCCAGAGUCUCCAGAACUCCUUUCUGACACACACCGAUCGAUAAACCUCUCCAGCGGUGCCUGCCUACAACAUACAAACACACCUUCAAUCUCCUCCUUUAUGUGUCCUUGCCUCGUGUCUCUCAUACGGUAAGACACACGUGUAAACUCUCGCCCCUCUUUUCAUCGCUCUCACAACUGCACACUCCUCGCCCAACCUAGCUAGUAGUUGGGCCUCUCGCACCACCUCCUAGCUCCAUUCUCUCUGUCUAUCCGUCUCGCUGGGCCUUAUUUGCCUCUAACAAAUGGACGUACACCGACCGAUCUCUCGCUAUACAUAUAGCUAGCUAGGUCCUUAUAACUCGUUUUUACCCACACGUCAAUCGAUCUACCUCAUUAGUUGUGUCUCUCCCUUCCUUCGACAAACAACAAUUGAUCUACCGAUCUAGUUAGGUUUGCUUACCAAACACAUGGUUCCCCUUCAUCAUCCAUGGAUGCGUCCCGAUAGAUCUAUCACGCACAGGCACACAAAGAAACACAUCCCCACUCUUAUUGAUAACAUUGCAGUUCCACCCUCAGUUUGUCUAGUAGGCCUCUCCCACCAUCUUCGAGAAGCAACUCCAUCACCCAUCCAGCACUCUACCCCUCUCCCUCCCUCUCCCUCCCUCUCUCCCUCCUCUCUCUCUGUCCCAUCAUAUUUCCCGUCCUUCAGUUAUGUAUGGAUGUCGACCAAUCUCCCUCAAGACAUAGCUGGGUCUGUCCUUCUCAACACAUAUACGAGUCGUUCUACCUCUAUAGUUAGGCCUCUGCCUACCCCUCCCACCACCCCCCUCCCCCCCCACACACCGAUACAUCGAGCGCUCUAGUCAUGUCUCCCUGCCACACACAAACUUGACGUGUGCCCUCUAACGUUCCGGUAGGCUAGUCGCCCUAUAUCUUUGACUUGUACACACAAACAAUUUCGAUGGCUCUCCUCAUCGAUCUCGCACCCACCCACUUGAUCCUCUCUUUGACUCUAUCGAUAGCUAUGACCCCUCCCUCUCUUCUCGUGGAUUGCCCGGACCUCUAUGUAUGAUAUGGAUAGGCCUCCAUUUCACACACAUUGCAUGCAAAAUUUUGUUUGAGAUGUCAUCGACACAUAUUCCCAUAAAUAAUUCACGAAAUCAACCCCCACCCCACCCCCACCCCAAAACAAAAACACUCACGAACACGGUUUGUAUCUCUCACACACACCCCACAUAGGUGGGGGACGUGCACGAAGAGAAGAGGUGCAUGCACGGCGCACGUACUCCCGUCUCUUUCCCAACCACACCCGCACGGGUACACGGUGGAGCUCAUUUUUGUACAAAAAAGGCAGCCCACGUUGUAAUUUGGCACGUGUACUGGUUGUCCACUUGGUGGAGGGAGGAUCGUCUACCACGGGUGAACAAACAAAUUGUGACUUGACGUGUUAUGUUAAAAAAAGGGGCAAACCAUGUGGGGCCUACCUUAGAGGCAAGGCUCUAUACACUGGAGUACUUUUGAUGUGUCCCAUCAACUCUCAGAAUGAGGAGAAGCUUGCUUAGUAUGCCGUCUCCCCCGCCCACGGGCGCGGUGGCUCGCAGGAUGAGGUGAAGCUUGCUUACUACGCCUUACACCCGCUCCCUCGCCCAUGCGCGCGGUGGCUCACAGGACGAGGAGAAAAAUUUACUACUCCCUCCAUUUACUCCUCGUCCCUACUACCUUGGUUAUAGAUAUUAUACUAUCAUAUUGUUUGGAAUAUAUAUGUCCUUUAGUAGACUUCAAUAUGAACUACUAGUACAUACUCCAAACACUGAUGUAUAUAGACGUAUUUUAGAGUGUAGAUUCACUCAUUUUGCUUCGUAUGUAGCACUCUCCCUCGCCCCUCGACCCUCGCCCACGUGGUGGACGUGCAGCAAUUCAUUCGGUCUCAUAUAGCCAGAACGAUAUAUACUGCACUACCAUUAUUGCUCGACUUCCCGAAGAGGCGAAGAACCAAUCGCAAGGUUAAUAUCUUGGAGAUGCCAAGCGCAAGGUUAUAGGAGAACGAGUAGUAGGUGCCGCGUCAUUUAUAAAUAAAGUUUGUUUUCUUCAGCGGCACGUACGCAAUAUGAUAGGUUCAUAUGGAGAGAAAAGGAAACCGCUCCACUAUAUACAUAGUCAGGACGGGCCAGCCUACACGAUUGCUUGCUGGGGUUGCUCUUUUCACACUCUCUCACACAAAACGACUGUGGCCACAUCUCUAACAUCCCGGCGGAUCACGUCCGCUUGGGGAAGGGGUGGAUGCUUAGUGUAGAUGCGGUGGCCGUCGUCGACGGCGAAAAACCACUGUCGGCACGUCCCAAUCAGGGGUCCCCGCCGUUCUCUCUCACAAAGCCGGUGAGGUUGCCUUCGUCCCUUGCUCACUUCUGCGACGUGGGCAGUUGCCGCCUCCCGCCGCCCUCCUCAAGGUUGAGCUACGUCCCUCGGGUACAACUCCCUUUAUAGUCGUCUUGCACCACUGCUCCAGCUGCCCACAUCACUCCUUGUGGAUAUUUCUCUACUUCUUUGCCCCGCACAUACCUCUACUGGCUUCUAUGUACUGUAUUUGUGAUGAGUUUAUGUCUCAUCAACUAGUCCCAGUAAUCUUAUUCUAAUCAUGCUUGUUCAAUUUCUUUGCCACAGGGAUGCUCAUCUCGAUUUUGGUGAAACUGCACAAAAUGAUCCGAUGGCCAAAAGGUUGCAAACUUCAUUUCUUAGGAAGCUCGAACAUUGCCAGCAAAUGAAGCCUGGUCAGGGUUCACGGUUCAAGGGCUAGGGACUGCAUGGAUCGUUUUUUCUUUAGCUGCCUCUGUUCCAAAAUAAGUGUCAACUUUAGUAGUAGUACAACUUUGUACCAAAGUUUGCACAAAGUUGAGAAACUUAUUUUGGAAUGGAGGGAGUACAUAUUUGCUAUGAUCUGUCAAUCAUUGAGAUGCAAUAGCAUGCACGUUAGUCUCCUUUGUAUUUGAUGAAAUGUUGCAACGGGCAACCUUGGACGCAAGAUACAUGUAACAGAAGCUGGAAGCUUCAUAGCAUUGUACAAAUUUGUCUCGCUGAUAAAUUAUAGUACUUACUAUACUAGUACUUCCUCCAUUCCUAAAUAUAAGUCUUUGUAGAGAUUUCACCAUGAACCACAUGCGGAUCACUGAGCCUGCGUGUUUUCACUGCUCUUGCACGCCUCCGCUGUAAGAAUGGAGAAAAUUGUAAUCUAUUAGGUAUACCUCCUUUCGCCGAAAGCGUGGGACAUCCAGCAGUCCUACGACCUCAGUAAUAAAGACCAAUGAGCCGUCAAAUCACAUAGACCCAACAGUAAGUUGGAUGGACGAAGCAACCACCACUCUUGCGCCAGUGAGAGGUCGCGUCCGCUCUGCCCGGGCAUGAAUGCGGCACCGAUUCUUUGGAGCGGCACUGACCGUUUCGAACGGGAAGCGCGCGCGGGCGUUGGAGGGGCUUUGGGUGGGCCAGGCUGGUCAGGAGCGGCCGUGGCAGCUGUCCGCAUGUCCCUACCGGACACGCCUGGAAAUGAGAGGAUGCACCGACUCUCGCGGAUAAAAUCGUACACUACACAACAUCUCUCUGUAGGAGUAGGUCGAUCUGUCGCUCUCUCUAACAUACACAUGGUGCUAAACACACACACACACACGCACACACACACGCACACGCAUGCACCUUGGUCCCGUUGCACCUUCUAACGUGACUUAUUACACCUAGACGGAGGGAGUAGUAAGUAUACGAGAUACGGUGGCACACUGACUUAAGUCGAAUACAAGUGCCCAAAAUUUGUGUGCAUGUUAUAAUAAGGAUUCAGGAAUGUAUAAAAGGUUAUUUCCCUCUCGUUGAACAUAACGGGAGGGUUGUGUAGCUGGUUAGCCUGUUCGCUCAUCAAACUUGAGGUCUCGGGUUCAAUAACUACACUUGAGCAUAAUUUGUGCCAGGAGGAUUCUUUGACUGGUCAAAAUGUUUUCUAGGGUUUGCACGCUUCACACUCUCUCUCCAGUAUAUAUAUACACGUUGGAGCCUCAGCACUUGUAGUUGCUCUCUUCACACUCUCUCGCCCUCUCCCGCUGGAGCCUCAUCGCUUGUAGUUGCUCUCUUCACACUCUCUCGCCCUCUCCAGAUCUAAACAAGACUUUGUUGGCCUCUCUCUCCCCUCACUGCUGCUCAAAGAGCCGGCAGGAUCCGUCCGCCGGGAAGGGAAGGAGGCUUAACGCUGUAGCCGUCGGCGAGGGACUACCGGCGCAGCUGUUCACUUUCCACCCAGCGGCAGCGCGGGAGGGCCUUCGACCCCUUCUUCUUUGCCGUCGUCCCGUCGCCCGCCGAACCAUGCCCCAAGAACCUUAAGGUAUAAUUUACUUACUCCACAUGCAUUGCUCUAGCUGCAUGUAUACCAUGAAUCUAGGACGUGGUUCAAAGAGGAAAGGAGUGGGAAAAGUUGUAUAUAGCAUGAAUCUCGGACGUGGUUCAAAGAGCAAAUGAAGGGGGAAAGUUGUAUAGCAUUAAUCUAGGACGUGGUUCAAAGAGGAAAGGGAUGGGGGAAAGUAGUGGGGAAAGUUGUAUCGCAUAAAUCUAGGACGUGGUUCAAAAAGGAAAGGAAGGGGUGAAAGUACUAGUUCAAAAGGAAAGGAAGGGACAAGGCUGUAGAGUUUAAGCAGGACUAGAUUUGCUGCGCUCACAUAGGGAAAGGCGUCUGAUAACAAAACUGGGACCAACACGGACUGACACGGAGUUUUUUUAGUCCCUACACCAAAAUGUCCCUGUAAACAAACACCCUCUAAUAAUGCCGCUGCAAAAUUGAUGCAAUGCCACAGUUAAAAGCAAAUUACAUGUUUAAUGAAUUUUAUUGUUAAUAUAAUCUCUAUGUUAAUAUUAAUCAAUGCCACUGUUUGAGAAAUGCUACUGUCUUGCUUUCUUUCCCAUUUAGAUAAGGUAGAUGCUUCUUUUUGUUGGCUUCUAUGUCAUCCACCGUUAUUGACCACUAAUUGUUUCCUUUGCACCUCUGUGUAAACAGGGUUAUAUGCUUCACCUCGUUGCCAUUGUGACCUUUUGUUGCACUGCACAAAACACUUUUGUUUUAAGAGUGUUUUGUGCAGUUCAACCAAAAUGUCACACCGACAAUGUUGCUUGAUUGCUUGAUCUUAGUGGAACUGCACAAGAGGAGAUCUUACUUCCUAUCCGUUAAGGCGAAUUUGGUUCAGAUCUUCUUCUUGUGAGUUGUUUGAAUUCCGCAUCAUGAGAGGUCAGUACUAGCCUUCUUUCACAUGAUUCUGCAGUGUGCAUUCAUAUGUUGUGCUACUUGUACGAUAAUGUUGCUUGAUUUUAGUGAACUGCACAAAUGGAGACAAGACUUCCAAUCUGUAUGUGCACCGUAAUAUCCCAUUGAGGUAAGAUAAGGAUAUUUCACAACUGCUGGCCUGUAUUUUGCCACUUUCAUCAGAAAAUUAAGUUUAGUACUAUACUUGUGCUCCCUAAUUGACAUGCCAAAUCUUACAUUGAAGGCGAAGCUUGUUUGUUAUUGAACCAAGUGAUGAAGGGGAAGAACAAGGGGAAGAAAAACAAAAAUCAACUCCCGGUGCUGUAAUGAAGCACUGGAACUGUGAUGGCACAAGUAAUGGUAUAGUUUUGCAUCUUAAUUUAUUGCUAUGGCUGGAACGAGCAAUUGUUUUGCCACUGAUUUGAUGCCACUCUUAAUGUAAUAUGUAAUAUCUCUACUUGUGCAAACAUGGAUCUUCUUUGAAGAUACCAUAUAUUUUAGUGGAACUGCAUAAGAAGAUGUUGGGAACAUUAAACUAAUCGAGGAGUAUAUAGUAAGCUUGGCCACCACCGUAGAUAGCAACAGAUGGUUCCGGAGAAAUGCUUCAUCUGUAUGCUCUACACAAUAAGCCUGCUGCCAAAGGUUGGUACUCGCCCACUGAUUUCAUCCAUAUGAUUGAGCUUUGUCAUCUCUAUUGGUGUUGUGCUACUGUUUAGAUACUGUCAUGAAAAAGUGGUAUUGUCCUUGAGAAGUGCUUCAUCUGUGCUGUUUUAAAUAUUUCCUUUCCUUUUUUGAGCAAACUGCUAGCAUUUAGUAGUCCUCUUGUUGUUGCACAACAGAAUCAUCUUCCUCUGAAGAAGAAUAUGGAGUACGUGAAGUGACUAGUUCCGAUUAUGCCAGGAUGAAGAAGCCCUGUCUAUCUUAUCAUCAGAAGGAGCAGUUGAAGGAUGGUUACAUUACUCCCCACAAGACCAAACUAACUUCAGCUUAGAAGGACUAAAAAAAUCUCCAUUUUUUUGCUGUUGUUCUAGGAUUCUUUCUGGUGAGUUCCAUUUUUCUAAAAGUGUGCUCUACAUGGACCAUGUAUGUGCCUGUUGAAACUGUCAAUUCAUAGUACAGUUUGCUCUAUACUAAUCACUUUUUUGUAUUUGUGCAAACAGGGGUGCUCAGCUUGAUUUCAAUGGGAACUACACAAUAUGUUCAUGAAUACAUCGGAUCAUUCAUUUCCACCACAAGAAAGGAGGUGCCGAUAAGUUCAAAGCGUUGCAACAUAUAAGGGCGAAAUCAUACAAGCUACGCACGAAUUUGGUUGAUUUUGGUGGAACUGCACAAAAAGAACAGCUGGUUUAUUUAGCACGAGGUGCCAUGUCAAUGUCCGAAUUGAUGGCAAACCCUGCCCAUUCCACAAUCGCAGGCAUUUGAUAUUUUGGAAUGGGACAACCUUGUCAAAUUUUUCUCAUUGAUUUUAGCAAGACAUGCGUUUGAUAUUUUCGAAUGGGACGCCCUUUGCUGUCAGCAGCGUCGAUCAAUUUUUUCUUUAUUCUUUAGUUGUGAAGUAAAUAUUGCCUCUGACAUGUGAGUCGCUGAGAUGCAUAAUCAUCGAUUGUUUUGAAUGUUCUCUAUGGAUUGCCAGGCCUGUGUGUUUGAUUGCAAUGUACAGAAACGCUAAAAAGCUGCUCAAACUCUUUGUACUCCUUUUGUUCCUUUUUACUUCGCACAUUGUGUAAGUGCAUACUUUUUUGUAUAAGAUUGGUCAAAGUAGAGAUACUUUGACUGCAGACAAAACUUGUAUGCAGACUAGAAAGGACCGGAGGGAGUACAUGUGAAACUGCUGCAAACGAGGUGAUCACCCUGGGAAUAAUGCUAGUACGUAUUGUUUUUGUAUGUUCAUCCAAUGCCAGUGAUACAGGAAUUCGAACUAAUCGAAAUAAAUUCAUUCAUACACGGUCGGAUUUCAUAUAAACAUGCCGGAUUUCAUUACAUUUCAACUAAAAAGGGGUGCGCUGGAGGUAUAAUUAAUUAACCGGCCUAGCUUGUCAUAGCGAUUAGGGCAACUAGGAGCCCAAUGAUUAGGAUCACCACAUGACAAACACCUUUCUUCUUGAAGUUCAUGUGUUGCACAGCCUUGUUCUUCCCAUCAAACUUUGCUUUACCAUCAAACUUGCCCUUGUUCUUGAACUUGUGGGGCUGGAAGUUCUUCUGUACCAUAUUGGCACUAGAUCCUCCCUCAAUUCCUCAAGCAUGUGUGUCAUUUGCUCUCGCCUUUUCUUCCACAUCAAGAGUGCCAAUGAGAUCCACGAAGGAGGAAGCUUGGUGAUGAAGGAGGUGUAAUUAAUUAACCGAAGCUACCCACCUGUGUCCCGCUGAGCCGAACAGAAGCUUCAGUGACUAAACUGCAGGUGCAGUUGCGUAACUGACAUGUGGCCUGUUGGGCCCACGUGUCAGUCAGCCAACUGCACCAACAGUUAAGUAGAAGCAGCGUUGUUCUCCAGCAGAACUCCCCGACACCACGUCACUGCCAAGAAGCUAACCGGCCGUCAAUGGUCAACCCGCCUAGCUUGGCUUCAACAGGAGGGUAGCAGCGGUGGCCUUGCUUGGACCCGAGCGGCAGUGACCGUACGAUGUCCAUCUAACGGCCGUAGUGCUUCUUCAACCUAUGGUCUUCUUGCUCCAGCCGCCCAAAGCAGCGCCGAUCGUGCCGCCUGUUCCUGCCUCCGGUGGCCGGCUGUGCUGCCGCGGAGGCCUCACCGCCCCCUACUAUUCCCACCGCUGGCCAGGCCCUGCGGAGACGGCAGCCUCACACCGCAGCCGAACGAGUGAACCCUCAUACUCCUCUCCGCGUGGGCAUCCACUGCCGCGUCUUCACCGGCUCCGCGUCGUCCCCUUCCUAGGCCUCGCUGUCGUCCACCGCCCUGGUGCUCUCGGCGCGGUGUGGUCAACGUGGUCAAGGAACACUUCCAUCGGACGUGGACUGUACGUCGAGAGGCUGACAGCUGGGUCCACGGCGGCAGAAAGGAAGUGCCUCCUUAUUACGCGGAAAAUAAUGAUUCCUCCACCUGACAGCAGGGACCCACCGGACGGGCCAUCGUAUUUCACGAAAAAAUUGUUUCCCCCUAACUGCUGGGACCCACCAGCUACACCUUCGCAUGCAAGGAAGUGCGUCUGGGCAAAAAAAACGAUUCGCCCCCCUAACUGCUGGGACCCACCAGCUACAUCUUNNNNNNNNNNNNNNNNNNNNNNNNNNNNNNNNNNNNNNNNNNNNNNNNNNNNNNNNNNNNNNNNNNNNNNNNNNNNNNNNNNNNNNNNNNNNNNNNNNNNNNNNNNNNNNNNNNNNNNNNNNNNNNNNNNNNNNNNNNNNNNNNNNNNNNNNNNNNNNNNNNNNNNNNNNNNNNNNNNNNNNNNNNNNNNNNNNNNNNNNNNNNNNNNNNNNNNNNNNNNNNNNNNNNNNNNNNNNNNNNNNNNNNNNNNNNNNNNNNNNNNNNNNNNNNNNUCCGGGCAAAAAAAAACCAAAAUGAUUCGCCCCCCUGACUGCUAGGACCCACCGGCCCCUCGACUGUUGGGACCCACCAGCUACAUCUUCGCACGCAAGGAAGUGCGUCCGGGCAAAAAGAAAAAUGAUUCGCCCCCUGACUGCUGGGACCCACCAGCUACAUCUUCGCAGGCAAGGAAGUGUCUGACAGUCGGGACCCACCUGAUCGAAGCGUACGUAGCGUUUUCAUUCUGGUCGCGCACGCGUAUGUACAUAUAUACUGGUCGAUGUAGAGGCGCGCACAUGUCAUAGUAGAGGCACGCACAUGUCAUAGUAGAGGCGCGCACGUAGCAUGUACACGUACGUACAGCGGCCAGGGUGCAAGAAAGAAAAUACGGCCACGUGUGUGUACAUAUGGGCGGGGUCUCGAACGCCUACUCGCGCAUAUGUACGGCGAGGGCUCGUUAACAUGGCUGGGUCGGAACGGAGAAACAACGUCAUCGUCGUGUUCAUGGGGAGGCAACGGAAUGCGUCGUGUUCAUCGGGAGGCAACGCGGCUGGGUUGGAACGGAAUGCAUGGUCGUGUUCAUCGGGAGGGCUUGGCCGGAAGAGGCGAUGGAAACAAGGCCUGGCGUACUGCACAACGAAGGAAACGGACCUCCUACGGUCGAAACAGGGGUCCUGUUAAUUGGGAGGGGUGUGGCGUACCACAAAACGGAGGAAACGGACCUCCUACGGUCGAAACGGGGGUCCUGUUGAUCAGGAGGGGUGUGGCGUACCGCAAAACGGAGGAAACGAACUUGUGUUGGAGCGCUACGGUCAAAACGGGGGUCCUGUUCAUCGGGAGGGGUGUGGCGUACCGCAAAACGGGACUCCACAGGAUACUGUUCAUCUCCACCGCCGACCCCCUCCAGCCUCCACGAGCUACUAUUCAUCCACCGUCGACCUCCUCCAGCCUCCACCUGCGACUGUUCAUUCACGGGCUCCUGUUCAUCCAGCCUCCACCGCGCGCUACUCCACCGGCUACUGUUCAACCACCCCUCUGUUGGAAAUAUGCCCUAGAGGCAAUAAUAAAAUGGUUAUUAUUAUAUUUCUUUGUUCAUGAUAAUUUUCUAUUAUUCAUGCUAUAAUUGUGUUAUCCGGAAAUCGUAAUACAUGUGUGAAUACAUAGACCACAACAUGUCCCAAGUGAGCCUCUAGUUGACUAGCUCGUUGAUCAACAGAUAGUCGUGGUUUCCUGACUAUGGACAUUGGAUGUCAUUGAUAACGGGAUCACAUCAUUAGGAGAAUGAUGCGAUGGACAAGACCCAAACCUAAGCAUAGCACAAUGAUCGUGUAGUUCGUUUGCUAGAGCUUUUCCAAUGUCAAGUAUCAUUUCCUUAGACCAUGAGAUUGUGCAACUCCCGGAUACCGUAGGAGUGCUUUGGGUGUGCCAAACGUCACAACGUAACUGGGUGACUAUAAAGGUGCACUAUGGGUAUCUCCGAAAGUGUCUGUUGGGUUGGCACGAAUCGAGACUGGAUUUGUCACUCCGUAUGACGGAGAGGUAUCUCUGGGCCCACUCGGUAAUGCAUCAUCAUAAUGAGCUCAAUGUGACCAAGGGGUUGGUCACGUGAUCAUGCAUUACGGUACGAGUAAAGUGACUUGCCGGUAACGAGAUUGAACAAGGUAUUGGGAUACCGACGAUCGAGUCUCGGGCAAGUAACGUACCGAUUGACAAAGGGAAUUGUAUACGGGAUUGAUUGAAUCCUCGACAUCGUGGUUCAUCUGAUGAGAUCAUCGUGGAGCAUGUGGGAGCCAACAUGGGUAUCCAGAUCCCGCUGUUGGUUAUUGACCGGAGAGGCGUCUCAGUCAUGUCUGUGUGUCUCCCGAACCCGUAGGGUCUACAGACUUAAGGUUCGGUGACGCUAGGGUUGUAGAGAUAUUAGUAUGCAGUAACCCGAAAGUUGUUCGGAGUCCCAGAUGAGAUCCCGGAUGUCACGAGGAGUUCCGGAAUGGUCCGGAGGUAAAGAUUUAUAUAUAGGAAGUCCACUUUCGGCCAUAGGGAAUGUUUUGGGGGUCACCGGUAUUGUACCGGGACCACCGGAAGGGUCCCGGGGGUCCACCGGGUGGGGCCACCUAUCCCGGAGGGCCCCAUGGGCUGAAGUGGGAGGGGAACCAGCCCCAGGUGGGCUGGUGCGCCCCCCUUGGGCCUCCCCUGCGCCUAGGGUUUGGGAACCCUAGGGGUGGGGGCGCCCCACUUGGCUUGGGGGGCAAGCCACCCCCUUGGCCGCCGCCCCCCCCUCUAGAUGGGAUCUAGAGGGGCCGCCCCCCCAGGGCCCCUAUAUAAAGAGGGGGGAGGGAGGGCUGCACACCCUAGCCCCUGGCGCCUCCCUCUCCCUCCCGUAACACCUCUCCCUCUCGUUGGUGCUUGGUGAAGCCCUGCCGAGACCCUGCUGCAUCCACCACCACGCCGUUGUGCUACUGGAUCUCCAUCAACCUCUCCUUCCUCCUUGCUGGAUCAAGAAGGAGGAGACGUCUUCCCCAACCGUACGUGUGUUGAACGCGGAGGUGCCGUCCGUUCGGCGCUAGGAUCAUCGGUGAUUUGGAUCACGACGACUACGACAUCAUCAACCCCGUUAACUUGAACGCUUCCGCUCGCGAUCUACAAGGGUAUGUAGAUGCACUCCUAUUCCCCUCGUUGCUAGAAUACUCCAUAGAUUGAUCUUGGUGAUGCAUAGAAAAUUUUAAAUUCUGCUACGAUCCCCAACAGUGGCAUCAUGAGCUAGGUCUAUGCAUAGUUUCUACGCACGAGUAGAACACAAAGCAGUUGUGGGCGUCGAUAUUGUCAAUUAUCUUGCCGUUACUAGUCUUAUCUUGAUUUGACGGCAUUGUGGGAUGAAGCGGCCCGGACCGACCUUACACGUACGCUUACGUGAGACUGGUUCCACCGACUGACAUGAACUAGUUGCAUAAGGUGGCUGGCGGGUGUCUGUCUCUCCCACUUUAGUCGGAUCGGAUUCGAUGAACAGGGUCCUUAUGAAGGGUAAAUAGAAAUUGGCAAUUCACGUUGUGGUUUUGGCGUAGGUAAGAAACGUUCUUGCUAGAAACCUAUAGCAGCCACGUAAAAACUUGCAACAACAAUUAGAGGACGUCUAACUUGUUUUUGCAGCAAGUGUUUUCUGAUGUGAUAUGGCCAAAGGAUGUGAUGAAUGAUAUAUGUGAUGUAUGAGAUGAUCAUGUUCUUGUAAUAGGAAUCACGACUUGCAUGUCGAUGAGUAUGACAACCGGCAGGAGCCAUAGGAGUUGUCUUAAUUUAUUUAUGACCUGCGUGUCAACAUAUAACGUCAUGUAAUUACUUUACUUUAUUGCUAAACCGUUAGCCAUAGUAGUAGAAGUAAUAGUUAACGUGACAACUUCAUGAAGACACGAUGAUGGAGAUCAUGAUGAUGGAGAUCAUGGUGUCGUGCCGGUGAUGACGAUGAUCAUGGCGCCCCGAAGAUGGAGAUCAAAAGGAGCAAAAUGAUAUUGGCCAUAUCAUGUCACUAUUUGAUUGCAUGUGAUGUUUAUCAUGUUUUACAUCUUAUUUUCUUAGAACGACGGUAGCUUAAAUAAGAUGAUCCGUCGAAUUAAUUUCAAGAAAGUGUUCCCCCUAACUGUGCACCGUUGCGAAGGUUCGUUGUUUCGAAGCACCACGUGAUGAUCAGUCGCUUCCACCGAGCUACAAGAGCUUUGUGAUGAACUUCAAUAUGCAGGGGAUGGAAAAGACCAUUCCUGAGGUAUAUUCAAUGCUGAAAUCAGCGGAGGUGGAGAUCAAAAAGGAACAUCAAGUGUUGAUGGUGAAUAAAACCACUAAGUUCAAGAAAGGCAAGGGUAAGAAGAACUUCAAGAAGGACGGGAAGGGAGUUGCCGCGCCCGGUAAGCCAGUUGCCGGGAGGAAGCCAAAGAAUGGACCCAAGCCUGAGACCGAGUGCUUUUAUUGCAAGGGAAGUGGCCACUGGAAGCGGAACUGCCCCAAGUACUUAGCGGACAAGAAGGUCGGCAACACUAAAGGUAUAUGUGAUAUACAUGUAAUUGAUGUUUACCUUACCAGUACUCGUAGUAGCUCCUGGGUAUUUGAUACCGGUGCGGUUUCUCAUAUUUGUAGCUCUAAGCAGGAGCUGCGGAAUAAGCGGAGACUGGUGAAGGACGAGGUGACGAUGCGCGUCAGGAAUGGUUCCAAGGUCGAUGUGAUCGCCGUCGGCACGCUGCCUCUACAUUUACCUACGGGAUUAGUUUUAAACCUCAAUAAUUGUUAUUUAGUUCCAACUUUGAGCAUGAACAUUGUAUGAGGAUCUUGUUUAAUUUGAGAUGGCUACUCAUUUAAAUCCGAGAAUAAUGGUUGUUCUAUUUAUAUGAGAGAUAUUUUUUAUGGUCAUGCCCCGCUGGUGAAUGGUUUAUUCUUAAUGAAUCUCGAGUGUAAUGUUACACAUAUUCAUAGUGUGAAUACCAAAAGAUGUAAGGUUGAUAAUGAUAGUCCCACAUACUUGUGGCACUGCCGCCUUGGUCACAUAGGUGUCAAACGCAUGAAGAAGCUCCAUGCAGAUGGACUUUUAGAGUCUCUUGAUUACGAAUCAUUUGACACGUGCGAACCAUGCCUCAUGGGUAAAAUGACCAAGACUCCGUUCUCCGGAACAAUGGAGCGAGCAACCAACUUAUUAGAAAUCAUACAUACUGAUGUGUGCGGUCCAAUGAGUGUUGAGGCUUGCGGUGGCUAUCGCUAUGUUCUCACUCUCACUGAUGACUUGAGUAGAUAUGGUAUGUCUACUUAAUGAAACACAAGUCUGAGACCUUUGAAAAGUUCAAGGAAUUUCAGAGUGAGGUUGAGAAUCAACGUGACAGAAAAAUAAAGUUCUUACGAUCAAAUCAUGGGGGAGAAUAUUUAAGUCACGAAUUUGGUACGCACCUAAGGAAAUGUGGAAUCGUUUCACAACUCACGCCGCCUGGAACACCUCAGUGAAAUGGUGUGUCCGAACGUCGUAAUCGCACUCUAUUGGAUAUGGCGCGAUCUAUGAUGUCUCUUACCGAUCUACCACUCUCAUUUUGGGCCUAUGCUUUAGAGACUGCCGCAUUCACUUUAAAUAGGGCUCCGUCGAAAUCCGUUGAGAGGACACCAUAUGAAUUAUGGUUUGGGAAGAAACCUAAGCUGUUGUUUCUAAAAGUUUGGGGAUGCGAUGCUUAUGUCAAGAAACUUCAACCUGAAAAGCUCGAAUCCAAGUCGGAAAAAUGCAUCUUCAUAGGAUACCCUAAGGAAACCAUUGGGUAUACCUUCUACCUCAGAUCCGAAGGCAAGAUCUUUGUUGCCAAGAAUGGAUGCUUUCUAGAGAAAGAGUUUCUCUCGAAAGAAGUAAGUGGGAGAAAAGUAGAGCUUGAUGAAGAACUGCCUCUUGAAGCGGAGAGUAGCGCAGCUCAGGAAAAUGUUCCUGUGGUGCCUGCACCGAUUAGAGAGGAGGUUAAUGAUGAUGAUCAAGACACUUCGGAUCAAGCUCCUACUGAACUUCGUAGGUCCACAAGGACACGUUCCGCACCAGAGUGGUACGGCAACCCUGUCCUGGAAAUCAUGUUGUUAGACAAUGAUGAACCUUCGAACUAUGAAGAAGCGAUGGCGGGCCCAGAUUCCAACAAAUGGCUAGAAGCCAUGAAAUCCGAGAUAGAAUCCAUGUAUGAAAACGAAGUAUGGACUUUGACUGACUUGCCCGAUGAUCGGCGAGCCAUAGAAAAUAAAUGUAUCUUUAAAAAGAAGACAUACGCGGAUGGUAAUGUGACCAUCUAUAAGGCUUGACUUGUCACUAAGGGUUAUCGACAAGUUCAAGGGGUUGACUACGAUGAGACUUUCUCACCCGUAGCUAAGCUGAAGUCCGUCCAAAUCAUGCUAGCAAUUGCCGCAUUCUAUGAUUAUGAGAUAUGGCAAAUGGACGUCAAAACAGCAUUCCUUAACAACUUUCUUAAGGAAGAAUUGUAUAUGAUGCAGCCGGAAGGUUUUGUCGAUCCUAAGAAUGCUAACAAGGUGUGCAAGCUCCAACGCUCAAUCUAUGGGCUGGUGCAAGCAUAUCGGAGUUGGAACAUUCGCUUUGAUGAGAUGAUCAAAGUGUUUGGGUUUAUGCAGACUUAUGGAGAAGCCUGCAUUUACAAGAAAGUGAGUGGGAGCUCUGUAGCAUUUCUCAUAUUAUAUGUGGAUGACAUACUGUUGAUGGGAAAUGAUAUAGAAUUCUUGGGAAGCAUAAAGGCCUACUUGAACAAGUGUUUUUCAAUGAAGGACCUUGGAGAAGCUGCUUAUAUAUUAGGCAUUAAGAUCUAUAGAGAUAGAUCGAGACGCCUCAUCGGUCUUUCACAAAGUAUGUACCUUGACAAGAUAUUGAAGAAGUUCAAUAUGGAUCAGUCCAAGAAGGGGUUCUUGCCUGUAUUGCAAGGUGAGCGAUUGAGCACGGCUCAAUGCCCGACCACGGCAGAAGAUAUAGAAGAGAUGAGUGUCAUCCCCUAUGCCUCAGCCACAGGGUCUAUUAUGUAUGCCAUGCUGUGUACCAGACCUGAUGUAAACCUUGCCGUAAGUUUGGUAGGUAGGUACCAAAGUAAUCCCGGCAAGGAACACUGGACAACGGUCAAAAACAUCCUGAAGUACCUGAAAAGGACCAAGGAUAUGUUUCUCGUUUAUGGAGGUGACGAAGAGCUCGUCGUAAAGGGUUACGUCGGCACUAGCUUCGACACAGAUCUGGAUGACUCUAAGUCACAAACCGGAUACGUGUAUAUUUUGAAUGGUGGGGCAGUAAGCUGGUGCAGUUGCAAGCAAAGCGUCGUGGCAGGAUCUACAUGUGAAGCAGAGUACAUGGCAGCCUCGGAGGUAGCACAAGAAGCAGUCUGGGUGAAGGAGUUCAUUACCGACCUAGGAGACAUACCCAAUGCGUCGGACCCGAUGACUCUCUUCUGUGAUAACACUGGAGCUAUUGCCCUUGCCAAGGAGCCCAGGCUUCACAGGAAGACUAGGCAUAUCAAGCGUCGCUUCAACUCCAUUCGUGAAAGUGUUCAAAAUGGAGACAUAGAGAUUUGUAAAGUACAUACGAACCUGAAUGUAGCAGAUCCGUUGACUAAACCUCUCCCUAGAGCAAAACAUGAUCAACACCAGAAUUCCAUGGGCGUUCGAUUCAUCACAAUGUAACUAGAUUAGUGACUCUAGUGCAAGUGGGAGACUGUUUGAAAUAUGCCCUAGAGGCAAUAAUAAAAUGGUUAUUAUUAUAUUUCUUUGUUCAUGAUAAUUGUCUAUUAUUCAUGCUAUAAUUGUGUUAUCCGGAAAUCGUAAUACAUGUGUGAAUACAUAGACCACAAUGUGUCCCUAGUGAGCCUCUAGUUGACUAGCUCGUUGAUCAACAGAUAGUCGUGGUUUCCUGACUAUGGACAUUGGAUGUCAUUGAUAACGGGAUCACAUCAUUAGGAGAAUGAUGUGAUGGACAAGACCCAAACCUAAGCAUAGCACAAAGAUCAUGUAGUUCGUUUGCUAGAGCUUUUCCAAUGUCAAGUAUCAUUUCCUUAGACCAUGAGAUUGUGCAACUCCCGGAUACCGUAGGAGUGCUUUGGGUGUGCCAAACGUCACAACGUAACUGGGUGACUAUAAAGGUGCACUAUGGGUAUCUCCAAAAGUGUCUGUUGGGUUGGCAUGAAUCGAGACUGGGAUUUGUCACUCCGUAUGACGGAGAGGUAUCUCUGGGCCCACUCGGUAAUGCAUCAUCAUAAUGAGCUCAAUGUGACCAAGGGGUUGGUCAUGGGAUCAUGCAUUACGGUACGAGUAAAGUGACUUGCCGGUAAUGAGAUUGAACAAGGUAUUGGGAUACCGACGAUCGAGUCUCGGGCAAGUAACGUACCGAUUGACAAAGGGAAUUGUAUACGGGAUUGAUUGAAUCCUCGACAUCGUGGUUCAUCCGAUGAGAUCAUCGUGGAGCAUGUGGGAGCCAACAUGGGUAUCCAGAUCCCGCUGGUUAUUGACCGGAGAGGCAUCUCGGUCAUGUCUGCGUGUCUCCCGAACCCGUAGGGUCUACACACUUAAGGUUCGGUGACGCUAGGGUUGUAGAGAUAUUAGUAUGCAGUAACCCGAAAGUUGUUCAGAGUCCCGGAUGAGAUCCGGGACGUCACGAGGAGUUCCAGAAUGGUCCAGAGGUAAAGAUUUAUAUAUAGGAAGUCCAGUUUCGGCCAUCGGGAAUGUUUCGGGGGUCACCGGUAUUGUACCGGGACCACCGGAAGGGUCCCGGGGGUCCACCGGGUGGGGACACCUAUCCCGGAGGGCCCCAUGGGCUGAAGUGGGAGGGGAACCAGCCCCAGGUGGGCUGGUGCACCCCCUUGGGCCUCCCCUGCGCCUAGGGUUUGGGAACCCUAGGGGUGGGGGCGCCCCACUUGGCUUGGGGGGCAAGCCACCCGCCUUGGCCGCCGCCCCCCCUCUAGAUGGGAUAUAGAGGGGCCGACGCCCCCCAAGGGCCCCUAUAUAAAGAGGGGGAGGGAGGGCUGCGCACCCUAGCCCCUAGCGCCUCCCUCUCCCUCCCGUAACACCUCUCCCUCUCGUUGGUGCUUAGCGAAGCCCUGCCGAGACCCUGCUGCAUGCACCACCACGCUAUCGUGCUGCUGGAUCUCCAUCAACUUCUCCUUCCCCCUUGCUGGAUCAAGAAGGAGGAGACUUCUUCCCCAACCGUACGUGUGUUGAACGUGGAGGUGUCGUCCGUUCGGCGCUAGGAUCAUCGGUGAUUUGGAUCACGACGAGUACGACUCCAUCAACCCCGUUCACUUGAACGCUUCCGCUCGCGAUCUACAAGGGUAUGUAGAUGCACUCCUAUUCCCCUUGUUGCUAGAAUACUCCAUAGAUUGAUCUUGGUGAUGCGUGGAAAAUUUUAAAUUCUGCUACGAUCCCCAACACCCUCUCCACGGGCUCCUGUUCAACCACCCCUCCACGGGCUACUGUUCAUCCUGCCCUCCACCGUCUACUGUUCAUCCAGCCCUCCACGGGGUGGUCCUAUUCAUCCAGCCCUCCACGGGGUCCUGUUCAUCCAGCCCCAACCAGCUCGAUCGAUCGGGGUCCUGUUCAUCCAGAGGCAACACCACGGGGUCCUGUUCAUCCACCCCCACCGGGAACUGUUCAUCCAACCCCCCUGCAACUCUCACUGUUCAUCCAGAGGCAGCAUCGAUCGGCUUCAGUUAGCAGCAGUAGCCAAGGAAUCGCUCGAUCGGGUUCAGUUAACAGCCAUCGAUCAAUCGCUCGGGUUCAGUAACGCGUAGCCUGCAGUGCAAUCGCUCGGGUUCAGUUAGAGCCCAACGCCUCGCUCGGGUUCAGUUAGAGCCAACGCCUCGCACAGACGCGCGUACGUGUACGAGAGAAACGCGCAUCGCUCGGCCCCCGACCUCCCACCGUAACCGGGAACUCCCUGAAAUUUUCCUCCCCCUCGCUUCUACCACGGUUUUUUCCGUCAUGGACGGCCCAAAGAAUGUCAUGCAGCUGCGUCUCCGGCCCGCCCAGGACGAAAAGCCCAUUUUCUGUCAUGAUUUUUUGUCAUAGAAGUAGGAGCCCACCACAUCUAUGAUGAUACCGGGUUUUGUCACAAUUAUCGUCAUAGAAGUGUCAUAUGUAUGACAGAAAUUUUUUUCGUUCGGCCCAAAAUGUCACGGAUGUGUCUUUUUUUUGUAGUGAUCCCUAGUCCCUGUAUUAGGUAAUACGCAAGUGCACUUUGUUUGGUUGGCUGCAUUGGCCCUAGCGGCACAUGAACACGGCAUUUGGUUGCAUACGGCGUACAUGUUGUGCUUACCUUGUACCCUAGUUGGUGAGCUUACCCACAAUGAUCACACCUAGCACACCAACGCCACAACACAACAAUGGUGACGAACUGGGCGAAGACGAUGAAGUUCUUCAGCUUCAGGCCGAACUGACGAUCCACCUUAGCAGCUUCUACUUUGACAACUCCAUCCUUGGCACGGUCGACACUGUUGCCUCCGUGCUUUCGCAACCAGGCGGAGUAAGCUUGUUCUGCUGCCUGCCUAGUCUUGAGCCCUCUAUAGUUGCUGUUGCUAUAUGAUGCCACUUGUGCAUUGGCUUCUUCCCAUAAACUAUAAACCCCUGGAACCUCACCGAUGAACACGGCAUACCACUUGCCCUAGCAAUGCACAAGAGCAAGAGUUGAAGCAGCAAAUCAAUGGAGCACAAGUAGCAAGCAAAGUAGCACACAAACAACAAUGGAGCAGAAGAGAAGUAAAGCAUGCAUGAUCAUAUGGCAUAGCAAGUUCAACCUAGCACUACCUUGGUGUUAACCUACCACCACAUCCAAAAGAGGGUGUCGUCCUACCACCGCAAGUUCACCAUCAGCGUGAGGGGUUAGUAUAUACCACCUCACCAAAAUAUACAGACCAUCAAAUAGUUUUUGAGCCCUAGCUACACAAAAUGUACGUCUUCAUCGUCAUCGUCGUCGUCGUCACCACCGCCAUCGCCGUCGGGGAUCAUGCACGCUCACAGGCAGCACUACUCUAGUAGUAGUGCUUGCCCAGCCAGCUCCUGAGCCACAGCACCCUGUGAGCGUGGGCCAUGGCAACGAACCCAACACCCUGGGCCUUGUUGUCAAGCAGGUGGCUGAGAGCUGCCAUGAGAGCCUCGUCGCUGAAUCCACCCUGGGUCAUGACAGCGCCAUACAGGUCAUGGUGGACGUCGAGGGGCUUGCACUCCCUCAUGGCUGUUGCCACCUCCUUCACCGCCUCAGUCAUGCUGCAAAAAACAUUGAUCUCCUCCUCCAUCAGGCCUCCUCUCUUCCUCUUCCUAUCAUGGACGGGGUCAAAUGGCUUGUCGAAGGGCUUCGCAGUGGGCUUGUCAGGGCCAUCAAUGACCUCGACGUCCGGUGUCCUAGGGAAGUCUGGCAUGGGAGAACCAAGAGGCUCACCCGAGCCCAUGGCAUGCUUCCCAGUUGCCAGCCCGAAGGAGAAGAUGUGUUGCAUCUGGUUGUAGUUCUGGAUGAGUGUGUUGAGGAACUCAACGUCCCUUGGGUGGUCCUAAGAAUGAAAUACAAGUGUUGUUAGUUGCAAUUAGGAGUAGGCAAUGGUGGACAGUAUGAAAAGGAAGAGGGCUGUGAGCUAACCGCGACAUGGCCGGCGUAGUGCUCUGCCUCCAGAACUAUGGAGCAAGUGUUCUCAUCCCAUGAGGCGCCGCUAAGGUCUCUCAGCUUGGACACUUGGAUCCAUCGACUUCUCCACUUCCUCAGGUGGUUGUACACCUGGGUGGCAGACAUCUCUUGCCCACAGAACUUGAACACCUGCUUCGCAACGGUGUUCAAGUGCACCUCCUUGAAGCCCUUGUCAGUCCUAACUCCACUAGAGAUGAGCUCACACAUCUUGUUCAGCACGAACGUGGACAUGAACGGCUGCCACUUCAUGUUGUUCGACCUACCAUCCUUCUUUGCCUUUGCUGCUGCUAGCUUGAUUGCAGCGGCAGCAGCAGCAACAGUAGGAGUUGGCUCAACGAGCACUACUGGCACAUAGAGGGAAUCAGACUCGAACACCUCUGAAUCAGGUGCCAUCUCGGACAUAGGCUGCGAGUCCUCGACAAACGAUGGAGCAAACUGGCUGUCGGACACGACAAGGCCCUGACUAAGAUCUUAUGUCUGCGUAGUCAUGUCCUACAAUCGUAGCACACAUUGACAGUGAGCAUAGCACACAACAUACCGAACAAUCCAUGAAAGCAGGAGCAUACAUGUACAUGGUUCAUCACUAUCAUAGCAAGCACAUGCUUCAUCACUAUCAUACUAAGCAUACUAGACAAUCUUUGAGCAGGAACAUACAUCUACAACAAAUAGCAUGCUACAAAUGGACCACCAAUAGCUACAAAUCACAGAUCUAAGCAUGAUUCAACACAAGCACAAGGUUCAACUUCAAACUCUACUACUAAUCUAGCCUACCACAUGCUUGAGCAUCUAGCCCUACCACAAAUUGCAACCGCAUCAUAGCAACUAACCAUAUCAGCUCACAGAUCAGACCACUAAUCAACCAUGCAUCUAGAUCAAACCCUAGCUGCAACUCAGAUCUAGCUAGAAGGAACAGAGAGAAAGGGGGGUUGAAUUCACAGAGGCCAUGGCUGCAGCUUGAGGACGAGGGGGACGGUGGUGGAAGAUGAACGCCAGCCGGUGAAGGAGCUCCGACGCCGUGGACCGCCGGCCGAUGAAGAUGCGCCGCUUACCUGCUCGUCGGUGCCGAUGCGCAUCGGCGGAAAAGCGCGAACGGAGGAAGAAUGGUGGCGGGAGUUGGGGCGGUGAGGGAGGGGCUAAAUAGGUGUGGAGAGGCUCCAGGUGAGCCGAAAUCCUCCCGCCGAUUUUUCGGCGACGCGGGCGAGCUCGCACCAUCUCCCCUGCUCGCACGAGGGGAGAAGCGCGUCGCCCUCCCCUGCCUCGCGCGAGCCAGGCUCGCGAGCUAUUGCCGAUUCAUGAGUUUCCCCUGAGCCUGGCCUGGACAUGCUUUAAGUUUCGUGCGAUGGCCGCAUGAUGAAUGCAGAAAAUCAAACGGGCUGAAUUCUUCCCGCGCAAGCCAGGCUGGGCCUAAUGCGGGCAACCAAACACGCCCUUGACGAUCUCCCUCUCUCCUGGCAAGAGAAGAGAGCAGCCAGCUCGAGAGCGAGUGAUCUCUCUUUUCUUUUUUGUUGAGAGAAAAAAAGACCAGAAGCUGGGCCAAGCUGGCAAGAGUGCUGCAGAUGUCAGCGAUUUCUUAAUCCAUGAGCUGGGCCAAGACCUUCACUGAUAUCACACAGCCCAUCUCAAGAAUCACUGGUUCCUCAAAAAAAAUAAUUCAUUUCCACUAUCCACCUCGCGCCGCGCUCGCUCCUCCGCCCUCUCGCUCACCGGCGUGGGGAGCUCCGGCGGCUCCGGAAGAAGCCCCCGAGCACGCACCCGAAGACGCCGAGGGAAGUGGACGCCAGGGGCGGGAGCUCCUCCACGAGCUUGGAGACCUCGGUGUUGACUUGGGCCGGAGAAGUCGGUCGGUGCUGCCUGCUCUUGGAUUGGGUUCACGAGCCGAGCUCAGGUGAUGCUGCCUGCUCUUGGAUCAAGGGAUUCCCUGAUUCGGUGAUGCUACACUCCCCACUUUUCUCGUGUUUCUGCUGAUUCAUUUAUUCUUCCGCUCCCGCAGGGCGCGCCACCUGUUCGACGGAAUGCUCAACAAGACUGCGGCGAGCGGCAGGUGUCAAUUCGACGACCUCACUGACGACCUCCUCCGGCACGUGCUGUCCUUUCUGCCUGCGGCUGAUGCUCUGCAAACUUGCGUGCUCGACACCGGGUGGCGUGACCAUUGCAGGCGCACCACCAGCCUGCCCCUCAUCUUUGACCAGUCGAGUUUCCCGAGCUCCGAACGUUUCAAACAGCUGGUGAAGCUCUUCAUCCACCUCCGCGGGGACUCGCCUCUCGACAAGUGCAAGAUCGUUGGCUGUCUUGAUGAUGAUGAUGAUGAUGAGCGCACAUACACAAACACCAUGCUGUUGAUCCAGUAUGCUCUAAAGUGCCAAGUUAAGGAGCUCCAGCUCAGUGUUGCUAUUGAAGAAGAUGAUGAUAAUGACAUUGAGUAUGACCCACUAGUACUCGAUGUGCCUCUCAUCUCCCAGCACUAGAAGAUCCUACACCUUAAUCGGGUUGACCUAAAACGCUCCACUCUGAAUUUCUCGCGCUGCUCGGUAUUGGAGGAACUAGAGAUGCAAGAUUGCUACAUUGAUGCACGCAGGAUAUCUUCCAAAUCGCUAAAGCGUCUCUGCAUUACCGACUUUUGUUCCUUCCCUACGAAGUUUCACAUUCGGAUAUUUGCUCCGGGUCUUAUCUCACUGCAACUUGAUAAUUUUGAUGGCUUGACCCCUUCCCUUGAAUACAUGCCAUCUCUAGAAACAGCUUAUGUUUGGCUUCACAAUAGUUGCUAUGAUUCUUGUCAUAGUAACCGACAGAAUUGUGAGUAUGAGGACUGUAGCUGUCAUGCUUAUCCAGUUGAUGAAGGUGUGCUUCUCCAUGGUUUGUCCAAUGCUGUGAAUUUGGAGUUGGUAGGCGAUGCUUAUUUCGAACUGGUACAUUUACACUUACUUCCUUUUUUACUCUUGUUGUUAUGUGCCACCCAUGGAUUCUUUGUAACAUCUCUGUCCACUGUUAGACCUGCAUAUACAUGUUCUCAUUACCACAGGUUGCUACUUUUAUCUCCACCAAUUGGUUUUAAAUUAAUAAUUUUAAUAACAUUGUAGCUUGAUUGGAUAAAAUGUAUUUCCAGGGCUUGAGCUGUAGUUCUGUCUUUCUUUAUGCCUGAAAUCAAAGUAUCUACCCAAACUUCCUACUUACUUAAAUUGUUUCGCCUUCUUGAGUCUCACUGUUCUUUUUUGUUCCUUUGCUAUUUGGUAGUUUGAAAUUAAAGUAUCUACCCAAUGUUCCUACUACCGGAAAUUAUUUCUUCUAGAGUCUUAAAGUUCCAUUUUGUUUGCUUGCUAUUUGUGCAGUUUAUCUAUAGAUGGGAUUUAGAAUGCUGCCCUAUAUUUGACAAACUAAAGACUCUAUCACUCAAUGAGUGGUUUACGACUAUUGACCUACUGUGCAUUCUCCAACACUCUCCAGUUCUUGAGGUGCUCACUCUUCAGCUUGGUAGCACUGAGGUAUAACCUAUAUAUAUAUAUGAAGACAUUGUUGUACUGUUAAAGGAACUAUUAUGUAUAUUCCGUUGAUCUAAC